This 87113-nucleotide long non-coding RNA is filed under the name Hordeum vulgare. RNAcentral describes it as "long non-coding RNA (HVUL_LNC011003)". The stretch from base 8292 to 8427 matches the Rfam family "MIR1120/MIR1122 microRNA precursor family". Lineage: Eukaryota; Viridiplantae; Streptophyta; Magnoliopsida; Poales; Poaceae. The record is from RNAcentral.
GGCCAAGCGACGGGUUGUUUCAUUGCAGGCUUCGUGUGGGUUUCUCGACCAUCGUGCAUGUUUAAUACCAACUCACAGACAAAUGAGCAGUCGGUUUCAGUGCGGUACUAAGCCGUCCAAUUGUCCUGUCUGUUCACAUCGCUCCGACAUUGAACAUGCGCAGAGACUGAGCGAACAUUGUGCUAAUGGCGCUCUCGAUCGGUUUGUUGCUUCAAUGCCAACUCUAGUGACCGGCCAUGUCUGCUCUGAGUCGGCAUGGAUGCGGCGCGGCAAGGCAGGUUUGCGUUGGAGAGGGCAUUGGCGUGGGAGAUGGUUUUACGUAGGACCCACUUUGUCGCGCAUAAGUGACAACGGUCCGGACGUCCAGAAAUAUCGUCUAGCUUGCCAUAUUUGUUUGGAAAUUCAGUCGUGCCUUUUUUGGACAAAAAGGAUCCGUGUUAAAUGUUAAAAUAUGUGUGGACAGCUUAGUCCGAACUUUUACGGGCUAUUUAAGGGUCCGUGUUGAAGAUGCCUUAAAAGCUCCUGAAAAGAAAAUAAGAACACUAAAAAACUCCACAAAUGUUGAGAAAAACUGUAUGCGACUUGGAUCACUUUUUCUUUUGCGGGAAGACUCGGAUCACAUUUGAUACGACACUCUGUCUCCGGAUUAUUUGAGUUAUUGUUUUUAUAUACAAAGUUGUACUCCCUCCGUUCCUAAAUAUAAGUCUUUGUAGAGAUUUCACUAGUAAACUACAUACAAAUGUAUAUAGACAUAUUUUGAAGUGUACAUCCAAUCAUUUUGUUCCGUAUGUUGACAUAUAGUGAAAUCGCUUAAAAGACUUAUAUUUAGGAACGGAGGGAGUACAUGAAUUAGAUCUGAAAUUUUAUGGCAUAAUAUAAGUACCUUCAAUUAAUUUUGGUUUUUACACGGCUUUUAGAUUUGUACGUAUUUCACACGGCUAGAGUGCUAGUGCAUGCUAUACGUGAAUACGUCCCCCUAAUAAUCGAGGCCGCCAAUCUGAACCUGUCAGAAACCUCGGCUCGUGGCUGGAUCUGCACGACGUCAGAAACCUCGGCUCGUGGCUGGAUCUGCACGACGCAUGCAUGCGGCGGUGCAGCCAUUGAACGCGUGUACGUACCUGCACGGCUGCACCUGCAUGCAUGGCCCGUGAUCCCUGUUGGCGAAAAAGGCGCGCACGUCGCAGUUUUUGAACACGGCCCCGUACGUACGUUCACGCUCGAUUUGGGAGGAUCUCCCGCAAUCACUGCGGCAGCAGCCAGCAGUAGACGUACGUACCAUAUAUACAUGCAGCAUUCACGCGGCACUGUCAAGGGCUCAAGCCAACGAGCAGUCGAGUGCCUGUACACUAUUCACGCACACACACACUAACACUACUCCAUUGCUAUUUUGGUUGACAGCUUACCAAGCUGACCACUUGGUAACACUACUCCAUUGCUGACGCCACAAACCAAAGUGGAAGCAACGGGUACGUACCACGGUAGCAGGAGUAUACUCCCUCCGUUCCUAAAUAUAAGUCUUUUAAUCAAUUUCAUUAAGGGUCUACAUACAGAACAAAAUGAUUGAAUCUAUACUUUAAAGUAUGUCUAUAUACAUCCAUAUGUAGACCACUAGUAAAAUUUCUAUGAAGACUUAUAUUUAGUAACGGAGGGAGUACGUGUGUACUGCCCACGUAGCAUUCGAGUAGUCGCACGUGGGGAGGGAGGCGGCCGCGCGUGGCAGGCAGGGUGGCAGAGGCCACCACGAUCGGCCAUCAUCCCGAGACAAAGCCUCCAUGCAUCCAUCCUUCAAAGCAAAAAAAGCAAAGGAAAAAACAUUCUCACCCAUCCUGCCAGCCAGAAAAGAAAAGUUACCACUGCUACUAGCUCGUAGUGCCGCAAGAAUACCCACGAGGCUUUUGAGGCGGCCGAGCCGAGCCGGCAUGCAUGCAUGGUCGUAUCGCGCACAGCACAUCAUCGAAAAACGGUUUCACCACUUUAUAUUACUCUCUUCGUUACUUGAUACUUUCUCCGUCGCAAAAUUCUUGUCUUAAGUUUGUUUAUAAAUAAAUAUAUCAAAAUACUAAAACAUGAUUAAAUACAUUCACAUCUAGACAAAUCUAAGGUAAAAAAAUUAAUACAGAAGGAGUAUAAAUUUUUAAAGAUUUCAUAAAAAAACUAAAUACGAAUGAAUAUAGACAUAUUUUAAAGUAUAGAUUCACUCAUUUUAUUCCGUAUGUAGUCCUUACUAAAAUCUUUUAAAAGGCUCAUAUUUAGAAUGAAGGGAGUAUAAAGCAACCAACAUCGCUGCAAUCAAUGAUAGAUACUAAAGCAAAAGCAGCACAUUCACAUUAAAAAGAAUUAAAAAGAAAAAAUACUGACAACGACGGAUCAACAAAAACAAAGAACCCUCGCGAUCGUUGUGUCCACCGAAGAUCUCUCACCAAGCUCCUAGACUCUGAAACACCGGUACCAAUCAACACCUCUAAGAAAGGCACGACGAUAACGACGCUGCUGCCAAGUGUUUUUUCGGGUACACGAUGAGGAGAAGGGAAAGGUAGCCCCGACACCCUCCAGGAAGGUCCGGCUGCACCCCCAGCCACUACCGCGGCAGUGUCGGCCAUAUCGACAGAGAUUUCUCCCGAUCUCAACCUUCACCUCGGGCACUCCGGAGCCCGCCACCAUACCGACCAUCAGCCUGUACCAACACGAUCUUGAAGCUUCCCACGCCGUCUCAUCACACCACCGCGGAGUGUGACAUGUGCAACAAAGAGGAGGAGCCGGGACUAGGAGCAACAACACUGUCAACACGCGGGAGGGCCCAACCUUCAUCGUCAACGAUGAUAACAGACCGAACGCCACAACAUGAGCACACCAGGCCUGUGGGCCCACAGGCCCGACUGGACGCUCAGAUGCGCGUAAAGCUCCCGCCGUCGCGCUGCAGAAGGCAUGCCAUUGACAUCGUCGCCCCGGAUCUGAGUCGCUCCCCCACCUCACCACGCAGAAGGCAUCAUGGUCGUAAGGGUCUAGAUUUGGGUUGGGGGCGCGUCGUCAGCCACCCCGCCACCAAAGAAAGCGCCACCACCACACUGACCAUGAGCUCCCGCCACUAGGUCGUUGUGUCGCAGCAAACCGAGCCGCACCGCCUCCGCCCCUGCCCCAAGAAGGAUGGUCGUGCGUGGGAAAAGGAGGUAUUGCUGCCACCAGUACCAUCCGAGCCAGAGUCAGGGUUGUCCGUCGACGACGACAAGGGAAGAGGGACGAGGAAGGGAGACGAAGGGAGGGGGUUGCGCGGCGUCCGGACGCCUUUCGGGAAGACGACGCUAGGGCACGGGAGGUGGAGGGGGAGGGGGCUGUCUCUCUCAAGCGUCCAUGUUCAUGCAAUGCCCGAACCUGCUCUCCUCAUUCUCGCACAGCACAUUUGCAAAAGCCGUGGCCCCACCCGUCAGCCGGUGGCCGGACGGCGGCGCUUUCCCUUAUUUUCUGGGUUCCCGCGUCGCGGUCGCGCAGCUUCCAACAAUAAGAGCCGGGCCGGGCUGGACCGGGCCGGACCUGGCAGCACCGUGGAGUGGAGUACCGUGGAGCAGCAGGAUCGAAUCCGAUCCGAUCCGAUCGGGCCGAUCCCACCACCGCACGAGACCGAGAGCUUUGGCGCGCGCGAGCGCCGAAAUUGAGCUUUCGCUCUCGUGUGCGCGCGCAGGGUUCUCUUUUCUCUCUUUUUUAGAUCGAUCGGAGCGAAAGCUGCACGCGGCGGCCGCGCGUGCCGGGCGUACGUACACUGUAACGACUCCCCGUGCCUGCGUGUGUGUGCUCCUGUGGUGGUUUACAAACGUCUUUGUCCGGUCCAUGCCUCGGGAUCGGUGCGCGCCCCGCCGCCGGCCAGCCAAGCCAAUGUUCUUGGUUCAUUUUCUUCUCCGAAUGCUUGCUGGGCGUGCGCCGAUCUUUGACAAGAAGUCGAAGAUGGUGUGCGGCGGCUGGUGUAAAUGUCAAACCCUGCAUGUGCCGCGCUCAUACCACCAUCGUCGCACGCUCUCGUGGGCCUGCAUCUGCAUGCAUGUGAUGUGAGCACGCACGCGCGCACGCCCGUCCGUCCGUCCGUGUAGACAUAAACUGCGGUACUGUCCACGUGAAGAUUUAAAACCUCUACGGUCCAUGCAUAGAUUUUUGCCUCCACGUCUUUUCAAAACCUGCUGGUCAGCACGUUCGAUGACAGCCAGUGUUCCCGCGCGCUGCAUGCAUGCGUGCAGCAAAACGACGACGCGGGAAAAUAAUUUAGCCCAUCCGAUCACUGUUCACUCGCUGCAUGCGUGUGUUUUGUCAUACCUCACAAAAGCCAGGUUUCUUUUGAGACAUUUGAUAGUCCCUAGGUCUAGCAGCUUUAAGAAACUACAGUGAUUUUGAUUCAUUAUCCUUUUCGAUCGAGGCUGGUGGAUUUUAGGACAGCGGGCACAUCAGAGUUAGUUGCAAAAUUUAUAUUCUUAGGACGUAGAUAAAUUUAACAAAUGUCUUAGGCGUUCUAGGUUUGCAGCUCUAUGCAUUUCUAGCUUAGAUGCUACCUACCUCAAUCCACCAAUGCAAAUAACGAUAAUAACAAAACUCAAAAGAAUAAGCUAGCUAGUAGUACGUAGUAGUACGUUUAUACUAGAGGAGCAAUAUGUUAGCCUUCUGCUUUUGAGCAAACAAGCAUCCUUUCCCCAUCAAUAGCAAGUUAUUAAGUUUGAGCUAUUGGAGAGUACUAUCAUAGGACUGAUUAACUAAUCGAUAAUCAUGCAUGAUUACUAGCUGGAGAAGCUACAGGCAAGGGUCAACCCUAAUGGGCAAGUAAAACCUCAAACUUUAGUUAAUUGAUCAUAAGAUCAUUUUUUCAUUUUGUUGUGAAAAAGCAUUCGGAUCUAUUCAAGAAGUUCGCUAGAAGUACAAAGCACUCCAAAUACACUAAAAAUUACACCAAAGUCUUUGGAUCACCGAACAAUCAUUACCGCUACUAGAACAAGUUUUCGACGCAUCACUGCCGCUGCCACCCUAUCGAAGUCAGCUUCACCUUGUCCAUAACCGUCAGUGACUAUGUUCUACAGUUCCAAGUACCAAAACUUUCCUUUUUCUUAAUUACCUUACUCUCACAUACUCUAGUACCUCACAUCACAUUAUUAGAGCAUCUACAACCGGACCCCUCAAACCCACAUUAAACGUCCAGGCAGGCCGCCCAUCCACUGACCGGUCACGAAAAAACGACUCACAUGGACCCCUCAAACGAGCUUCAAACAUCCGGGCUGACCGGCACCCCUCAUAUCCAGUCCAAAUAUGGGCCGGAUAUGGGGGAGCCUAGGCACGCCCGCCACGUCGGACCCAACAUCCCAACCCUAUUGCAAAUUGCACCAAAUCCACCCCGCAAAAUUACCGGAUCCAUUUCUUGCUUUCCUCUCUUCUUCCUCCACAAGUCAUCCGUCUUGCAGCUCCGCCGACGCGCGCACACCGUGUCCUAGUAGUCUCUGCCACCCCGGCCGCUUGGUCAGAGGGAUCAUCUCUCCCGACCUCUCCGUGCAAGACGUCGUCGCAUGCCCGGAAUAAACCGCGAUACGUCCGGCAACUCUCUGGUUGUGCCUUGUGCUGGAUGUGUUCGACAGAAUGUCUGACGGGGUUUGUUGGUCAAAUUUUUAGGUGAAACGAUGGAUUCUGAUGCUUCGUCCAACGAGGAGUAUGGACCGACGGAAUUUGAUCAACUGAUUCAAGACAAGUUCUUCAAUUCAUCGGAUUCGGACGAAGAAGUGGACAUGAUGAUGCUCGUGAGCAUGCAAGAAGAAAUGGACCGGGAAGUGGAUCACAUUCUCAUUUUCAAGGGCCCAAUCAAAGGGCGAAGGGUCAUCAAUCGGGAUAGGGUAUCCGGAGCGAAGGUACUGCAGAAUGAUUACUUUGCUCUGGAUCCAACUUUCCCGGAUGAUACAUUUUUUCAUAGUCGUUUUCGCAUGCAAAAAAAACCAUUGUUUUUGCGCAUGGUGGAGGGAGUGGAGGCACACGAUGACUACUUUAGGCUCACAAAGGAUUGUUGAUGUCAGCUAUGUUUCUCUGCCAAGCAAAAGUGCACGGCUCCCAUGAGGAUGCUUGCACUUGGUACUGCGGCAGAUGCCGUUGGUGAGAUGGUCAGGAUGGGGGAGAGCACAUGCCUGAAAACUACUGUCAAGUUUGCCCGUGUUGUGGUGGAGGUGUUUGGAGCAGAGUAUCUGAGAGAGCCAAAUGCACUGUACACGGAGAAGUUGUUGGCUAUUGGAGAGGUAAGAAGGUUUCGAGGAACGCUCGGUUCAAUCGAUUGCAUGCAUUGACAAUGAAAGAACUGACCCAAAGGUUUGUGAGGAAUGUACCAAGGUCAUACAAAAGAGGCCACCAUCAUACUAGAGGCGGCGGCAUCACAUGACCUAUGGAUUUGGCAUGCUUUCUUUGGAAUGCUAGGUUCUCAUAAUGACAUCAACGUGCUUUAAGGAUCUCUGGUGUUCAAGGGGCUUUGCAAUGGGAAAUCACCUCCGUGCAACUACACUGUCAACGACCAAGACUACCACAUGGGAUACUAUCUUGCCGAUGGCAUAUACUCUCAGUGGACUGCAUUUGUGAAGAUUUUAUCCGAACCACAUGGCAGAGAACAAAAGCACUUCACAACAAUGCAAGAAGCAGCUAGGAACGGUGUGGAGAGGACUUUUGCAGUGCUGCAAACUCGAUGAGGAAUUGUUCGUGGGGCUGCAACGAUGUGGGAACAAGAAACUUUGUGGCAACUGAUAACAUGUUGUGUUAUUUUACAUCAUAUGAUCGUUGAGGAUAAGGAUGAUGUUGUAGCACAAAUCGAUUAAUUUGAAGCACCUCGAGAACAAGUUAAAAUCCCCGAAGAUCAAUAUGCAAUGCAGCUUAUGAACUUUGUGGAGAUGCAUCAGAAUCUCCGUGACCAUCACGUGCACACACAACUACUCAAUGAUGUGGUGGAUAAUAUAUGGACCCAUAAUGGAAAUCAAAGAGCAGGUGAUUGAUUGUGCACUUUAAAUAAAAUUGAUGUAAACACUUCUUAUGUUUGGUACCAACAUUUGUUUUACGUGUGACGUUUAGUAUCAAAUGAUCGUCGUACAUUUCUUUGCAUGGAUUUAAGAGUCCGAAUAAGAAGUAUGCAGAUGUAUAAAAUGAAAUAUGAGGGAUCAUCGCGGACGUAGUAGAUGCUCUUAGAGUCUAGAUAAGGCCUAAGCUUCUUUUGAGAUAUAGUCUACUGGUAAAAUACAGUAAUAGCUAGCCUUUGGGUAGGGGCCCGAGUUGCUUUCCUCAACAGCUCUCAAGAUCUUUGUCCCUCUAUGUUUAUAGCCUGCUGACAAGCCCUGCCCAUAGCUGCGGGAGUCUGCCCAUAUUGAGAGAGACUAGAUAGAUGACAGGCCCUCCAAUGCCAUAUGUACAUUUCAGGAGAUUAAUAGUGGUACUAGUCACUACUCCUAGUCGAAUGUGUGUGCAUGCAGUGCAGGCUUUAUCUUUUGCGGAUGCUUACUAGCCGAUAAUGAUGCUGUGGUCCAGAUGCAAAUUUAGCCCACGCAAAUGGUUUUAGAUGACUCCUAAUCAGCUUGGGUUCCAAACCUAAUAGCUAUUGGUACACAUGGCCUGGAUUUGGUUCGAUCAACAGCUUUUAAUUGUGUGCUGGAUUAUUUUUUUCUCGAAUACAAUUGUGUGCUGGAUCAUGUCGCCUGUUUUACACAUGGAUCGAACGGUUCAGGCAGGUUCAUCGGCUUGAAUCAUGUGACAGAGAAUUAUUCCAACCAAUUCCAACGCAGGUUUCGUGUUGGGAUGGAAUGUUCGUGUGUGCGUUGUUAAGGAUGAGUGUAUAUGUAUGUAUAUAAACGUUUUUGUUUGUACUGUGUUUAAAAAGUAGCUAUAGUGGGAUUUAGAGCCAUCUCCAUCGAUCUUUGGCAAAUGGGACGGUUCGUGCUCAUCCCCCGCAUCAUCAUAAAUUAGGUGCACAUCCAAUCCAACACAAUUCCAACGGUUGGCCAAAUACAUAUUUCACCAUGGCGAGGAUUGUUUUGUACGCCAUGCGUGUAGAUUGGCUCUACGUGAGCCGAUCGAGCGGUGGUCCUCCAAUCGCGUCGCAAUCUGACUGAUUAGGCCGUGUGAGUAUCCAAAGAUACAAUGGGCCAGCACACCAGCACACAUAAUUUAGGGUUCGUGGUCCAAACCACAUUUCAAUCCUUUCACAUACGCAUCUGAAAUGAUUUCCGGCUGCUGGCUGCUGGCCGCGGCUUUGUCGUCCUUCCCGGCCGCCCGCCCGCGGGCACGCAAAGUCCUACUCCGUCCGUUCCUAAAUACUCCCUCCGUCCCAAAAUUCUUAUCUAAAAUUUGUCCAGAAAUUGAUGUAUCUAAAUACUAAAACGUGACUACAUACAUUCAUAUCUAGAUAAAUCUAAGACAAGAAUUAUGGAACGGAGGGAGUACAAAACUGAUACUCCCUCCGUUUCUAAAUAUAAGUUUUUUUUAAAGGUUUCACUAGUGAACUACAUACGGAUGUAUAUACACUAGUGGGGACAGGGCCUAUAGUCCCGACCCGUAAGGGGCUUUAGUUCCGGUUCACCAACCGGGACCAAAGAGGCGGGACGGCCCUGUUCCAAACCGGGACCAAAGGUGCUCCACGUGGGCGCCUCGGAGCGCCCUCAGGGGCAGGCCCUUUAGUCCCGGGUCUUAACACGGACCGGGACUAAAGGAUCCGUCUGUUUAUUUUGUUUGUUUGACCCAAAUAGGUAUUUUUUUAUUUAUUUUUCAAAUUUUAUUUUAGAAUAUUCUUUGAUUUGUUUUUAUGUUUUAUUUCAAUUUUUAAAUCUUUGAUUUAUUUGACAAUUUAAUCUCUAAUCACCCAUCCUCACUGCUCUAGUGUAGACUACUCAUUUCAAAUCGUCUAACUUCUCUGCCGGUCACCCAUCCUUUCAGUGCUUCAGCCCGAGCACGCUUAACUUCCUGGUUCUAUCGCCCCUAGUUUUUUUUAUAACAAUCUAACAGAUGACUAGGAGAAAAAAGAAUUAAAUUAAAAACUAUUUGUAAACUCAAGUUAUUCACAAUUUGGGUUUGAAGCAAAUUUGAACAAAUUUAAAUUUAAACCAUUCAAAUUUAAAAACUAAUUGCACAAACAGAAACUAGACAAAAAUUUGAAUCUAAUGCAAAAAGAAUCACUAAAAAAAUUAAAUAUCCUAAAAGAUAUAAUCAAUUUAAAACAGAAACUACAAACAGAAAUAAAAUUUAAAAACAGGACAAAAUAAAAAUACAAAACCCCUUUAGUCCCGGUUCGUGUCUCGAUUCAAGACACGAACCAGAACUAAAGCCUCCAAACCCUUUAGUCCCGGUUCGAGACACGAACUAACAUUACUCCCGGUUCGUAAUGGAACAUGGACUAAUGUGUAAAUUGAGCUGAGACGGAAGCCCCUUUUUCUACUAGUGAUAGACAUACUUUGAAGUAUAGAUUAACUCAUUUUGCUUCGUAUAUUACUUAAUGAAAUUUUUUAAAAGAUUUAUAUUUAGAAACGGAGGGAGUAAUACGUAGUAGUUCCACGGUCCUGUUUGGAUUUUGGACAUAGAGUUUGUUUUGGAGAAAACAACGUGCGCUCUGAACUUAAUUACAACCAACGCUGCAUAUGAUAUGCCCAUGCGCUGUCCCUGUCAGCUUCCCCCUUGACAACGAAAAGCCCAAUACAGUCUCAGUACAAUAACAAGUGGGACUAUGAGAAGGAAAACAGUACGCGAUGGUAUUUUUAUUUUAUUUUAUUUCUUGGUGACAAGUCCAGUACAGCCAUGCUCCAAAAGUAUGGGAAUCAAGUUGAUGGAACAAGCAGCAAAACUAAAUUAAUUAAUACUCGUCGGGAUCGAUCGACUCGCAGUUGAGAGCAUCGCAAGAGAGGCUUUUUUGACCGACGGCACUCGCAAGCCACAAGCCACAAGCCGGGGGCAGAAAAAGGGUGAAAGGAGCUCGGCCAAAGAAGAGGAGAAAGAAAAACAGCAGAAUAAUGGGGGCACGUACGCUUUUUCCGCGGUCGAGAUUAGCUCAUAUCAAUGGGAGGAUAGAAAGUAAGAUUUGGCGCAUAAUUCCAUCGGAUGAUUGCGGUGACACCACACCACUCUUGGAGUUGGAGGUCGAGAGUGAUCCGCUGCCGAGGGACCCGGACGGAAGCAUCAGCCACAUUUAAGCUAGCUGCUGGUGGAUCACAUCACAUCGAUCCAUUGCAAUGUUACAAACGGCAGUAGUAUUAUUUUUUCUCCCUCGUGCCGUAAGUCUAGUUUUGGAGACAGCAGCAGUAUCGUUGAUCCUCUGCCGAUUUCUUCCUUCCUUCCUUGAUGGCGGCACUGCAUUUGAGCAGAUCCUACUACUACUACUACUACACAACAGUGUGCCAGUUGAUGUUUUUGUUCCUGAUUUCGAACCCGGCUAAGGAUUGAUUUUUGGGCGUUGGAGGAGUGGUAAUAGGCGUCGCACGGAUCAACGGUGCUGGGUACAUGGGAAUCCCUGUACGUGCACGUUGCUCGUACAGACAUAAAGAGGUCGCACGUACGAUCGAUCGAACACAUAGCAAGGACGGCGCAAUCAAUCAAUGGAGGCACGCUUUCGAAAACGCUGCUCAAUCGUACGUACGAGCACGUACGUCGUCUCAAACAAGAGGACAAACCCGGGAAACAGGCCCCCGAUCCUUAAGCUAAGAGCUCUCUUAAUAAGCUAAUUAUAAAGCCGGGAGAGCCCAUAGAUGAGGAUUGAAAAUCUGGGUCCAACUGCGCAAAGGAAGCUAGGUUGCGUUCAGCUACUAUAACACGAUCGAUCUCCCUGUAGCCGGAAUAAUUGACCAACGUUGAGUAGUAGCAUGUAAAUGUAAUGCAUCAUCAUCUACUGUAGUAGUAGUAGUAGGAGUAGCAGUGAUGAGUUGUGUGGAACCGUUGGUGAUUUUGUAUCGACAUGUUUGAUAGCCAGCCUCGAUCAGCCUAGCUCCUACUAGUUACCACAACACACCAAAAAUCCCUCUUGCUUCUUUCACAAUCCAUGGACGGCCAUAAUUAGCAAAAAUUAGACCGUACGGCGAGCCAGGAUUGCGGCCCUGUUUCCCGGAUUCGCUGAUCCUCGUCCCCAAAUUAGUAAGAGUAGCAAGUUUGCUGCAAAAAACAAGUGAAAGUCAUGCUUGGAUCACGGAAAGAAACAAGUGUGCUGGAGCUGACGCCUGUGGCGCUGGAGGAGGGAAAUAAACAAGGAAAGGAAGAGGAAUGAAUGAUUCCGUAGGGAUAUGAUGCCGGUAAUGAUUAGCGGGAGCUCGCUCGCUCGCAUGUUAGCGGGGAAGCAGCAGACAAAGCGUGUGCGUGCAUCCCCGUCAAAUCCAUCCGUCGCUCACCGUCGCCGUCUUCGCCCACCACCGUCCGCCUCCAAACUUUCAAUCCCUUCCUCAUUUCUCUCCUCCUCCCCUCUUCUUCACAUGCUGCUGCGUCCUCUUCAUAUUCACGCUAGCCUAGCAUUCAAGGCUUCACGAGGAACGCACGACUUUCUUACUGUAGUAGAAAAGCAACGUUGCUGAUUGAUUUCCUGCGGCUAGAAAUUACAUCUGAGUACACUCCACACCCCACAAAAACACCAAAGAAAAACGCCAAAAGGUUAAAGAGAGAGCACGUAAUAAAAAAAAACGCUUACUCCACACCUCCCCCAUCUCGCUAAACUAAUUUUGCAUUUUACAGUCACCGCGCGCGAUCCGAUCGGCGCAAACGUCAGACCACCCUGGCGCUCCGGCCGUGCCCGUACGCGUGGCCAAUGCCGCGGCUCAGCACCACCCUGGUCGUCUCGUACACCGGCAGCUCGUCCCUGUACCCCGCGCCCGGCGGCACGGCGACGGCGGCGGCGAAGUUCUCCAGCUCGAACAGGUCGGAGCUGGCGUCGCUGCUGUCCUCGUCGUCGUCCUCGUCCUCGUCGCUCUCCAUCUCCAUGCGCCGGAGCAGCAUCUGCUCCACCGCCAGCGCCGGCACCCUCCGCCGGUCCGCCCCGGGCACCGUGGCGGGCGCCUCGCGGUCGCCGUCCGCGAACCGCACGGUGCGGUUCGCGUGCCCGCGCGUGGACGGCGUCUUGCUCAGGCACGACCGCGAGUAGGACGACGCCGAGGAGCACGCGUACUCCGCCGCCGCCGCCGCCGCCGCCCGGGCCGAGGGCGGGGUCUGCGGCGCGCUGCGCUUGCCGGCGAAGAUGGUGUUGAGGAAGCCCGCGAGGCGCGCGCCGGGGGAGGCCGGCUUGCGGAGGUCCCUGAGCUUGGCGCGGAUCGAGGCCCCCGCCGCCGCCGGCUUCUUGGCCUUCUUCUCCGGCGCGGGCGCGGGCUGACCGCCGGGCACCACCGUGCGGAUGGGGCGCAGGCGGCGGUGGUUGGACGACUCGGCCUCGGACGAGGAGAAGCCGCCGUAGCUGGAGCACUCGGAGGAGCUGGACGUGGUGGCGUGCGGCCCCGGCGCCCGGUAGCUCCCGGCGAGCGACGGCCUGUAGUAGUAGCUGUAGUGCAGGGCCUCCUCCACGUGCUUCUUCUGCUGCUGCUGCUUCUUGGUCACCGCCGCCUCCCCGCCGGCGUGGCCCGGCUCGUCCUCCAUGGACCUGUAUAUCGCGUCGAGCAGCGACGACGAGAAGGACGGCUGGUCGGCGUGCCGCCUCGCCCCCGCCGACGUCCCCUUCUCCAUGCCACGCCUCUCCAUGCCACCACCAACACAGCAAGAACAGAACACCAAAGCUUACAAAAACAGCAGCUCCCAGCCCAGCAAUGCGCUCUUCUUCUUCACCGGAAAGCGGCGGUGAGACGGUUUUUCUUCACCGGAAGUGAGCUGAUGAGGGUGGUGGUGGAAGCUGGAAAGGAAGGAGGGGGUGGUCCGGUGUGGAGAGGUUGGAGGAAAGAAGGGUGAGGGAGCAAGGGAUCGGGGGGAAGAUAUAGGCGGACCGGGAGGAAGAAGGGGUGACGUGGCAACGGGCAGAGGAGGAGGAGGAGGCGGCCACCACGCUAGCUUCAGUUGGGUUUGGGCGUGCGGGUGAUGGCCACGGGCCCACUCGUCCCCCACCCUCUAUCUAUCUGUCGCUCACUCCUCAUGUCACCACCCGGUGGCCUUACCUAUGUGUGUGUGAUCAGUGAUCACUAUCUCAUUCAUCCAUCCAUUUAAGAAGGUUACCAGACACCGGUACUGGCACGAGUAAAUCCCCCACUUUUGGCUCGUCUCACGUUCUACUGUUUAGCUCAUGAUGAUCCAGUUCCAGCCACGUCGCUCCACACCCCGCCCAGUAACAUGCUCUCCUUAGUUGCGAUCGCAGCUAAGAACUCCUCAACGUGCGUCCUAAUUUCACAACUAAUGAACGCGCUAACCCAUGUGGUGUCCUGCUGCAGCUAGCAUUGCCUGCACAUCAUGGAUGUCUAUGCUAAGUUAAAAAAGAUUUUCCUUGCUUAAUUUGCCCGGGGCCGGUGCAAAUUAUCUGCAGUGCUCCUACCAAAGGCGCGCUAACAAACAAACACGGCGCGAAACGGCAUGCGCGCCACAUCUAACCACCUAGCUACGCGCGUUUUGUGUCGCCCAAACAAAAUAUUACCUCAACGAACCGAGCGCAUAAAAAAAACCGGAGGCCCCGUGCUGGCGCAGGUACGGCGUCUCCGCUGCGAAAAGCGCGCCCUCCGCCUUGCCACAUCCAUCCAUCCAUCCAUCCAUCCUCGCUUAAUCUACAUCAGUGCUCAACAGUGCACCGCACCGUACCGUACCGCUUGUGAAUAAUAAAGAUUGCUGUGUGGCGAGCUGCAAAGCAUGAGAUGAGAUUCCCGUCGUCCUUGAUUAAUCCUUUGUGCUAGUACUACGAGUACGAGUACUACGGUGGUAAUCAAGGUUUAAUUAGCGUGUUGCAGUACGCCGGGCCUCGCUGCACUGGCGGUGCCGGGAGCAGUACAUGUUUUUUUUUUAGUACUAGCAGUAGCUUGUUUAUUGCUGCCGGGGACCAUUCGUCUUAACACCAAGGGGGGAAAGGGUGUGUGCGCGUUCGUUCAUCUUGAUGGUGGCCGGGGAAUGUUUUUGGUCGCAUGUUUUUGUUUCUUUUUCCCUUGUCACCCCCGGGUUGUUUUCGUACGUGGUACUACUCCAGCGCUGUGGCGUAACCCACCUUUUUGUUUGUGUGGGCUUCGAGGCGCGCGAUCGUUGUCUUGGAUGCACGGUUCGCUGUGCGCUAGUAGAUCGACGUUCGUGAUGGAUGGCAACCCCCGAACAUGUUCACGAGGGCUUGAGCGUGAUGGACGGCGGGGGAACCACGCUGCACGCACCGCCAGCCACAAUAAUCAAUCAGUAUUGUAAGACCUCGAUCCGCGUCUUUGAAAUCCCGGAAAAAUGGCUGCGCCACUCGUCUCUCUCGUCAGUUCAAACCCAUACUCCACUCGUCUCUCGGUACAACAGUUUUCUCCGUGGGAAGAUGGUCGUCGCUAGGCACCGAGGCCUCCUUGUCUCUAAACUUUUGAAGAUCUUACGCAUCGAUUUCCACGGCGACUUGGCGGAGGCCUGUCCAAAUUUUCCGUCCUGUGAUGCCCACCUGCGCGUCGACCGUGGCGGAGGAUGAUCGGUCAGACAGGAGAGGGACAUAAAUGGACUGCACGGGGCGGCUGCCUCCCGCCCGGAUCCCUCCGUCCCUUUCCGACCCGAUCGAACCCAGCAUGCGUGCUACUACACGGAUGCACGCACUGAACCGGCUCAACUGCGCGUGGUGGCACGGAGGUAGGGGCGCGCCAUGGUGCCCAUGCGAGCCGGUGCGUCCAGUCCCCAUAUGCAUGCAUGGUCAAGAGGCAGGGUUGGGUGCCGUGGGCAUGGCUGCCGUUGGUUAACAUGACACGGGCGGAGGCUGAUGGCGAUGCUGUUCAUGCGCUGCCGGCCCGCCCGCCCGCCUUGAUCACGAUCGAUAUCUGGCCGGAAACGAUGGGCACGGCUACCUUGGCUGGACCCCCGGCCGACCCCCGGGCGCAUUAGGUCGGCUAUCACCUUUGGUGAUCGGUCGACUUGAUCGAUGCCGGCCUUGAUGUGUUGGUGUUGGGUUGAUCGCCGUGACUGGCUGAGUGAGUGAGUGAGUGAGUGACAGCCGGUGUGUCCAUCGUCCGGCCACGCCUAGGCUAAGGGUACGAUGUACGUACGCACUGCCCUUCUCUUUUCUUUUCUUUUCUUCGGUGUGGGUUCGGAGAUUGGUGUGAUUGGACGUGGAGUCGAUCGGUUGUGUCCGAUCCAUCCAUCGUGCGUGCGUGCGUGCCUACUGAGAGGAGAUAUGUCGUCGAGCACGCACUUGUAGUUGUACGUGCGUGCGUAGGGUUAUGGUGGUUUGGUGGUACCCGAUGGCUGCGUGCGUAUGUAUGUGUCGGCUCUGCAUUGGGGAAGGCCUGUGGUGUCUUUGUUGGAUUCGGAGACAGCGACGGUCGGCCCUGCGCCGCGCCUGGCUACCUGCUCUUCUGUUCUUCUCUUGUUCGAUUGAGUCUGCACGAGCGCACGCCUUUGGAUGCCGCGACCCUGCUCCCGCUCUUUUGUUUUACGUGUAGCAAGGAGGAGAGAGGCAGAGUGACUGGCUGGUUCUUGUUUGCUUCUGAAUGUGCACUGCACAAGGAUCCAAAGCUACGGUGUGCGUGCAGACAGGCUGAACACAUGCAUACGUUACACUGAUGAUGUGGCCGCAGCUCGGCGGAACUAGACCAUGCGGUUCCAUAAACAAAGUUAGGAUCAAGCUGUAACAAAGUUAGAAUCCACUGAUGACUACCUUGCAGCUGCAGUCUUGCAAGCCGAUGAACAGACCUAGGCACCUAGCUAGCUGAGACUGAGACGAUGGAAGGGAAGACAUUCCGCAGUCCGUAUCAACCAACAACAGUACCAGCGAACAGUGGGAAACCUAUGAGCAACAGAAGAGCAUGGAAUCCUCAACAGCGUCUGUAGGGCAGGCAGCGAUGCCCAGCACUCCGUCGUCCCAAAGCGAAAAAGGGGCGGCAGGCAGGCAGCGUGUGCUGGGACGUCACGUUGUGCCGCGCGAACGGCAGGCCCAAGAAAACCAUCCAUCGGAGCAUCGGCUUUCCUUUCCCCGGUCGGCCGGCGAGCACGCAACGCCGCGGCAGGCGCAUCAGAGGCGCAGAUCUCCUCGUCUCCCUCCCCGCACGCCCCGAGCAGCACAGCGCAUGCAAGAUAGCUGCGCUCGACUGUCGACUCGACGCCGCCUUCUGCCUGGCACCUUCCGCUGCACGGAGGCCUUCCAGCCAUACGCAGAUCGUGUCGCCUCGUCUGCCUUUUUUGCUUUCUUCUUUAGCUGAUCUUCUUCUUGGGUGGGUGGUUCUCUCGUGAUCCCGGGUAGCUAGCACCAUCCGUGCACCUGCGGCGUGGUGAUUGCGGGCGGCCGGGCGUGUGUGUUUUGCGUCGCUGGCGGUGGCGGAGGGUUUAGUGGCUGCUCAGGCCAGUGGAAAAGGGAUUGGAAAGUUUGGAGGAAUCAAUGGAAGGCGCACACAUGCACGGGGUUAGCUUGAGAGUAUUUUUCUAAGUGUCCCUGUCGCCGGGCGAGUUGAUCCGGUAAUCAUAUACUGCAUGCGGAUGCGGGGUUGGCUUUUGUUUUAAUGUUUAGGGCUACUCUCUUUCGAGGCCCUGGCUAGGGUUAGGGUGGUCCAUGGGCAAAUCACAAAUGGGAGGUCGGUUUGUCGUUCUUCUGCUCGGGUGUUGUAGUAUUUUUCUCUUGCUUAAAUCCAAAGCUAACCGAAACCGACUCCAUGGCUGGAAUUUGGAGUACUAGUAACAUGGACGUCGAACGUCGGUAGAAAUCUCAUUGGGUAUUACAAUGGCUGCACCUGCACGAACGCGAACGUCAUGCACAUCUGACAUUUCCACAGUUUUCAGGGCGCACCGCGUCGCAUAACAAAAAAAGAAAAACAGAUUUCCGACGAACUCCGUGGAGCAAUUUAUAGUCCAAUGACAAUAUGGCACGUCUUCCUCCUUUAUUGCCCCCGCCUGUGUAUCAAUUGAUACAUGCGAUCUUUUAUUAAUAAAACCAUAAAUAGUUUUAUAGUCCACAAUAAGCUUAAAGAGUUGUAAAAAGGAGAUUAAAUAAAAAAGCCGCAACGGGUUAAAAUAGGCAUAUAGAUAACUAAACACCUAUUCUAUUAUUAGAUGUCUAUCCAUAUCGGUUGUAAAUAUCCCGAGCUACAAUCUUUCAUCGGGCACAUCAAGUAACCAUAGGCUUCCUGACUUCCCGAGAAGUGAUUAACGACCACAUACAGAUCGUAGGAGUGGCCCUGUAGAUAAUCUGUAAAAAAAUUGCACGAAUCUAUCUGUUAAAAACAAAAUCAUUUCUUCACUUUCAUAUAGCCCAAAGUAAUGCCAAACUCCAACCCAAAAAAAUGCAUCUCUCACUACCCGCCCAAUUCCGUUUUGACAGAUUAUCUUUCGUUAGAAUCACCUUCUUGUGAACAAACCACAUGGAUACUUUGAAUUUCAACGGAACCUUAACCUUCCAAAUGUGUAUUGUAUUAGGGAUCGGGCCCGAAUCUAUGAGAUCAAGAGACGUAGAUUUGACCGAAAAGAUGUUUUUUUUUGAACGAAAGGGGUCUCCCCCCUGCCCCAUUUAUAUAAAUGAAGCAACCAAAGUCUUGUUACAUCCCAAACAUCCAAACAGAGAAAAAGACUUGAAAACAGGAAAACACCUAACAGUCUUUAGCUAUAGCCAUCAACAUUCUUCUCCCGACGAGGGGUUACAACCCAAAGAUAAUCAUUCGAAGACUAGGCUUCCUAUCCCCUCCCCCAGGUUCAUCUCCAAGCAAUUCGAAGCAGUUCCCCGCGCCUGAUGUCCAGUUGCCUCAUGAAGUCUCGCAGCAGAUCCGCCUGAGCACCGGAGAACAAAACCCGCCAUUGAUUGAGAUGAAUGUCCAGCUUUGCAAGAAUGCAUUUCACACUUCUCCUGAUGCGGCCCUGAAAACAAAGAUCAUUUUUGACCGAAAAGAUGUCAUUUCUAUUUCAAAGCCAAUGAAGGUUAUCAGGUUCGUCACAAAGGUUGAUAUCCAUCAACUUGUGACCAAAUGCAACUAGACUGCCCAUCGAUCUCCAAUUAAAGAUCUUUCGAAUUGUAUAUUUAAAGGCACAAACUAUAAUACUGUAGCAACAUAUGCUUCUUUACGUUGUACAAUAUUAUAGAGUGUUGGAUACUCGGUAGUUAGCGACGUGUCCCCUAACCACGUAUCCUCUCAGAAUCUCGUCGACUCUCCGUUUCCAAUGAUGAGUUUAGUUUUAUGGAAAAAGGUUGCUUUAGUCCUCAUCAAGCCCUUCCAGAAAGGUGAAUCAUUGAGUCUAACGAUAACACGGGUUAAGGUCUUAGAUUGUAAGUACUUAUUGCGUAAAAUUUGUACCCCACAUACCUUCAUUAUUCACAAUGAGUCUGUAAGCCACUUACUGGGUAGACACAUGUUUUUAACCUCUAAAUUGUCAAUUCCAAGGCCUUCGUAUUCCUUCGGUCUACAAAUGAUGUCACAUCUAGUAAGCUGGUACUUCCUCUUGAUCCAGUUACUCUGCCAGAAGAACCGGGAUCGAUAAAAAUCCUAUCUUUUCCGUACCCCUACAAGUACCUCGAAGAAGGAUAGGUGGAACAUCAGCACACUCGUUAGCACGAAGUGUACCAGUAUGAGCCUACCUCCAUAAAACAAAAGCUUGCCCUUCCAGAAGCUCAAUUUUUUUUCAAAUCAAUCCUCAAUACGUAUCCACUCCUUAUUAGUGAGCUUGCGAUGGUGAAUGGGUAUACCCAGAUAGCUAAAAGGUAAAUUACCCAAUUCACAUCCGAACAAUUGUUUAUAAGCAUCUUGUUCGUAUUUCGCUCUCCCGAAGCAGAACAAGCUUUUGUUAAAAUUCAUCUUCAAUCCUGAUAACUAUUCGAAUAAGCACAAUAUCAGUUUCAUGUUUCUAGGGUUUUUCAAAUAAUGUUCCAUGAAAAGAAUCUUAUCAUCGGCGUACUGUAAAAUGGACACUCCAUCAUCAACUAGAUGUGGCAUUAGUCCACCUACUAGGCCCUCCUCUUUAUCCCUUUCUAUCAUGAUUGCCAAUAUAUCCGCCACAAUUUUGAACAAAAUAUGGGACACAGGAUCACCCUGUCUUAGACCCUUUUAAGUUUGGAAGUAGUGACCUAUAUCAUCAUUCACUUUGACUCCAAUGUUGCCUUUUUGUAUAAAUGAAUCGACAUGGUUCCUCCAUACUUCAUCGAAUCCAUUCAUACAUAGGGCUUGCUGUAGGAAUGGUCAUUUAACUUUAUCAUACAUCUUCUCGAAAUUCACUUUGAAGAUUACCUCGCCUAGUAUCUUUGAAUGGAUUUCAUGCAAAGUUUCAUGCAAGACCAUCACCCUUCUAAUAGAGUAAAUUUCACAAAAGGACCACUUUGAAAGCUAGGUUUGCGAAAAGCACUAUAAUACAUUUUUUUGCAAAAAACACCAUGUCUUCAGUAAUCUUUUUGCAGAAAGUGUUGGGGAACGUUGCAUGGAAAACAAAAAAUUUCCAACACACACGCAAGAUCUAUCCAUGGUGAUGACCAUCUACGAGAGGGGAAGUGCGGAUCCACCUACCCUUGUAGAACGCUAAGAGGAAGCGUAUAUAACGCGGUUGAUGUAGUCGAACAUCUUCGUGAUCCAAAUUGCAGUCCGUCGCACGAUCUCAUCACGACCCGUCCCGUGAUCCCAUCACGAUCCAUCCUGAUCUAGUGCCGAACGAACGACACCUCCGCGUUCAGCACACAUACAACUCGAUGACGAUCUCCGCCUUCUUGAUCCAGCAAGAGGGGCGGAGAGGUAGAUGAGUUCUCUGGCAGCACGAAGGGUGUGGUGGUGGUGGUGGUGACCUAAUCCAGUAGGGCUCCGCCAAGCUAUGUCGGACUAAUAUAAACGAAGGAGACAAUCUAUAGAGGAGAGGGCAUCACGUGGCUUUUCACGUGUGUGUUGUCCUCAAAACCUCCACUAUAUAUAGGAGGAAGAGGUGGGAGGGAUGCCUUGCCUCCUCCUCCAAGGAGGAGAGGUUCGGACGAGCUAGAGGAGAGAGUCCUCCUCCAAUUCGGUUUGGUGGAGGACUCCCUUCCUAGUUGGUCCCCUCCUUCCCUUUUUUCUCCUUCCUUUCCUUUUUACACUUGACCGAAAUAGGCCUUAUUGGGCUGGCCGCAACCGCCCACUAGGGGCUGGUGCGCCACCUUUAGGCCUACUAGGUCCACUCCCGGGUGGGUGGCCCCUCCCGGUGAAACCCCCGAACUCAUUCGUCACUCCCAAUACUUUACGGGCAAUGCCCAAAAUCUUUCCGGAAUCCAAAUGCAACUUUCAUAUAUAUCAAUCUUUACCUCUGGACCAUUCCAGAGCUCCUCGUGACGUCCGGGAUCUCAUCCGGGACUCCGAACAACUUUUGGUCACCAACAUACAUAACUCAAUAGUACUGAAACGUCACCAAACCUUAAGUGUGUAGACCGUGCGGGUUCGAGAACUAUGUAGUCAUGAUCAAGACACUCUACAAUAAAUAACCAAUAACGGGACCUGGAUGCCCAUAUUGGUUCGUACAUAUUCUACGAAGAUCUUUAUCGGUCGAACCUCUGUGUCAAGGAUUCAGUUAAUCUCGUAUACUUUUCCCUUUGUCCAUCGGUGUGUUACUUGCCCGAGAUUUGAUCGUCCGUAUCUGCAUACCUAGUUCAAUCUCAUUAUCGACAAGUAUCUUUACUCGUUCCGUAAUACAAGAUCCCGUGACUAACUCCUUAGUCACAUUGCUUACAAGGCUUGUUGUGAUGUUGUAUUAUCGAGUGGGCCCUAGAGAGAACUCUCCGUCAUACGGAGUGACAAAUCCCAUUCUUGAUUCACGCCAACCCAACUGACACCCUCGGAGAUACCUGUAGAACACCUUUAUAGUCACCUAGUUACGUUGUGACGUUUGAUACACAUAAGGAAUUCCUCCGGCGUGUGAGAGUUGCAUGAUCUUAUGGCCAUAGGAAGAGAUACUUGACAUGCAGAAAACGGUAGCAAUAAACUGACACGAUCAUAUGCUAUGUUCAUAGUUUGGGUCUUGCCCAUCACAUCAUUGUCCUAAUGACGUGAUCCCGUUGUCAAAUGACAACUCAUGUCUAUGGCCAGGAAACCUUGACCAUCUUUGAUCAACGAGCUAGUCCUUAGAGGUUCACUAGGGACAUUGUGUUGUCUAUGUACCAAAAGCACUGAUCGGCGGAUUUGCCUCAACUGAGCACGUUUAUGAUAGAUGGGGCCCGACAGUCAUGCUAAUGUGGCGCAAAUUUCUUACACCCUUAGGUUGAACCGUUUUGCUGGACAGGGGCCCACUUAUCAACAUUUCACCACGUUCUUUUCUCCUCUCUAAUCUCUCUCUCCUCGUCCAGAAGCAUGCAGGAGUGUCGGCGCCGUCCAUUGCCAUGGCCCUUGAGCUCCAAGAACGACGUCGCUGUUAACCAUCCCUCUCAUGGAUCCGGCAAGAAUCGAGCAGCUCUAGGUACAGCGAUGGUGCGGCCGCGUGUGUGGUUACCGAGCUUGGCCUGCGGGACGACGAGCACGACGGAGCUGGGGCCGGUGGCGACGAGGCAGAUCCCAGUCGGCGGCUGCUCCUUGGCCUUGGCGCGGCCGCCGGCAGGCCUGCUGCCCCGCUUCAGCUCCGGCGACGGUGGCGUCUCCUUGGCCUUGGCGCGGCCGCCGGCAGGGCUGCUGCCCCGCUUCAUCUCCGGCGACGGCAGCUGCUCCUUGGCCUUGGCGCGGCCGCCGGUAGGCCUACCGCCGCGCUCCAUCUCCGGCGACGGCGGUUGCUCCUUGGCCUUGGCGUGGCCGCCGGCAGGCCUGCCGCCGCGCUCCAUCUCCGACGCCGGGAGGGGGCAGAUGCGGAGGUACACCUUGAGGCGCUCCUUCGACACCGCCGGCUGUGACAUGGUCGAGGAGGUAAGCGCAGUGGCGGCGGCCGCUGUGGAGGAGGGGGAUGCGGAGUGGCUGGCAAGAUUUGGGGGUAUAGUCUACAACGGUGGUGCUAAGUGUAAUAUUUUGUGUUAAGAGGAACCAAACUUUUUUCCUUCAUUUGUUUCAGUUACAGGUGGACCGCACAUGUUCACACAUGAUGAUAACGUUACCAAUUGUCAUCGUUACAUGUAAGAUGUUAAACGGUGCCACAUCAGCAUGACUGGCGGGCCCCAUCAGUCAUAAACAUGCUCAGCUGAGGCAAAUCCGUCGAUUAGUGUUUUCAGCAUAAAGAUUAUUAAAGACAUGGUGUUUUUUUGUAAAAAAAAUUGUAUUGUAGUGCUUUUCGCAAACCUAGCCUUCGGAGUGAUGGUUUUGUGCAAUUUACUCCUUAUAUGUUUCGGUACAUGAAAGCUGUGUGAGUUGGUUGCAUCACUCAAUGUGCAUUCCUCGUUAGUCUGUUCGUCCCCACCUUCGUCCUACCUACCUAGAGUACCUUUCACCGGAGGUCAAUGGCCUGAUCAAACUCGACACGACUCCAGCGUGCCAUUUUCCAACGCAGAAACUACUGAACCGAUGGAUCCAUCUUCUUCUUCCACCAGUGAGAAAGCAAGUUGCUCAGUGCAGCAGCAAACCACCUGAAAAAUGUCAUGUCUGCUGAUGCGAUACGACCGGAGAUUCCGGCCGGAAGGAUCGCUGGACGUGUAGUGCCCUGCGCUGAAUGGAUGCUCGGUCGAUGGCAGCAAGGAUUUGCGGUAGUGCGGUGGGCGGCUAGAGAGAUGGAUGGGUGGUCGAUCGACCCGUCAAUCUGGUCUGCUCGCCAGUGGACGCUGAAUCCUCCGCUACUAUUUUCUUGCUCCGGCGAUCAACCGCAUCUUUUCUUAUCCUUCACGCCCUGUUUGCAGCUGAUACGUCCGAUCUCUCUUUCCACCCAUGAUUCGACAUUUCUGCGAUCGCCACUGCGAUGAUUGUCACCGAGAAUUAUUUCCCCCCAAACCUGGAUCGUUCUUUGGUCGCCAAGAUAGCUUUGUUAUCCAAGAAAGAUAUGAGUGCUUGAUGUCAGUUAGCAGUACUUGUGAAAUAAUCUGGCGGGUCACUUGUUGCUGGACCAUCCUGUGAAAUGAUUUGCAUCAUACAUGCAUGCCUUUUAAUUUGUUUGUCUGGCAAUUUUCUGCCCCGAGUCAUUUACAACUAAAUGGCUACAGUGAAAGGGGUAGAGCUUAGUAAUCGAUUGGUUCGGAAAAGGGUUAGUGGCUAAUGAAUUAAACAAAGCUGUUGCUUCGGUGCUAAACUGAACUUAGGAGUCACGCAGCCGUAAAAGGGGGUCAUGAUUUGUCCGUGGGAUCGUCGGAGAUGGUCCCUGAGCAGCUGGGCUGCGCACGAUCAGACGGACAAGACGGUUUCAGUUAGCUGUAUAACGUGAUCAGCAUAAAUAAAAGACAGUUUCGGGGACACAAGCAGCGUGAAGUGAAGGGCAAAGUUAGUGCAGCCCACCUGCCCCCCAAUGGCUCAUGAGGAUUGCAUGCAUGUGCCGUGAAUUUUGUGUGCGAAAGUGAAUUUCUCACCAAGUAUCAUAGGCAUCUGGAGUAGUGAGUAGUGGCUGCUGGACAGAGUCCGUGAAGUUCGUCACCCUGCCUCUCUGAACCCAUGGCAGAGACGAGGAAGCACUUAACUGCAUGCGCUGCAAACGGUUUUGGCGGGAAACAUUCGAGGAUAAUUCGAACGAUCCGACACUGAAUUUUAAACCUUGAAUUUCAAUCAUCAGUCGGCCACGACGGUAGUAACAUUCACCUGAUUUGACAUCAUGGAAUGAGCCAGCUGCUAUCCUCUACUGCGGAAUCUCUCAAAAAAGCAUUCAGUGCUCGCACACGCAUGCUAAACAUAAUUAAGCUAGCAGGCUCUCUGGACAGAUAGGUUGGUUGCACAAGAAGCUAUGCUGCAGUGUGAAGUUCAGUUCCCCGAGCUCGUUGCCACCAUGGUCCCAUGUGACGGGGCCAGCCGAGAAGAUAGAUUCCUUCCAUUCCAUAAACUACUGGGUGGGAGAAGAGAAGUGCAAGCAUCGAGAUCAGAGAAAGCGGAAAGACGAGCGUGCCAAAGGAGGACGAGAGAGACGGGCGAGGAGUGGAGACAUGGGAGCAGACAGGAGGUACUCCAUUGCGAAGGGGAGGUGGGAUCAUGGUCAUGAAUGGCUACGCGACGAGCGGUGCUCGCCAGGGGUCGAGGCAGCCGGUGGUGAUCCCGAGACCGGGGAGCAUGGCGCAUCAUGAAAAUGCCGUGGCCGGCCGGCAAAGCGAGCGGGGACGACAUGCAUGAGAAGCAGGCUCAAAAGAAGCGGCGUCCGGCAUGCACCCCCGUCCUGUUGCACCUGCACGCACAGGCACGGCGUGCCGCCAUGGCAUGGCGCCGUCGUCUCCCUCGAUCCCCUUUUGCCUCCUUCCAUCUCUUUCGGUUUUGGUUCCCUUUUUCACUUUCUCUUUCCGCUUUUCGGGUGCGGCCAUGCCAUUGCCAUGCCCCCCAUGCAUCGCCUCCGCCAUGGCGACGCUCAAAACGUAGAACACCCGCUGGAAUGGGUGGACGGAUAUGGCCGAGCACAGUCGGCUCCACCGGGCUCGGCCUUCCUCAUCAGUCGUUCCUCGAAACCUCUUAACAUGUUAGCUCUUUAUUAUCUUUUGAAUUUGUUAAUGGUGUCCAAUGGGCUGAGGCUCUUAGAGCUUGGAGUAGCUUUUCAGCAACUGAUAUCAUAUUCAUGCCGGUGCUGAUAUGCUGAACUGGAAGUCUUCUUGUUCGCACGAAGAAGCAUGCAUGCGUGCUCCUCUUUACAGAUCGCUGCCAAUGAUCGCGGCAUGCGUGUGUUGGUGUGUUGUGUUCUUGCUGUGUGCUGUGGGAAUGUGAGUACCAUGUGCACAGAGGUUCAGAUAUAUCGUACGAAUCCCGAGAAACAAAAUGGAACCGAGGAAGCAACAGAUCCAAGAAACCCAGACCAGAGAGCAGAGAGCAGAGCAGCAUCAUUCCUUCGCGUCAAAAUGCGCGCGGAUGGUUUGGUUUUCGUAGUAUCGCUUUGGCUUUUCCUCCCUCCUUUGACAAUUUGAUUGACACAGGUGUGACUGGAUGAUUUUUGUUUCGGACCUACUACUUUUUUUUUUUUGAGGAAUUGUUUCGGGCCUACUCCAGCUCCAGGCCGUCGUCUGCUCGCUGGCUGCUCGGUUCUGUUAUGGUACUGGCGUUUUUUUCCCUCCGGUUUUUGGAAAAGUUGGUGAAAUAAAUAUUGUUUAAGGAUUUCAAAAUGUUUAUGAAAUAUCAAAAACUAUUCACGAAUUUCAAAAAUACUUUUGACCUUUAAGUAACGUUUACAAAAUUUAAAAAGAGGACAUCGAAACAAAUAAAAAUACUUAGAAAGUAGUAUAACAAGAGGAAGAAAAACUGACAGAAUCAUUAGAACCUAAAUAAAAUAAUGUGGGCAGGUUCGUAACACAAUGCGUAUAUUUGGCCCAGUCCAUUCGUGAAGUGCUCAGUGAAGGUUUCCGCAAAUUUUCUUUUGUUUAGGUAGUACUUUGAAUUUUUUUUGUUUAGGUAGUACUUUGAAAAAAAAAAUGUUUAGGUAGUACUUUGAAAAAAAUUUGUUUAGGUAGUACUUUGAAUUUUUUUUGUUUAGGUAGUACUUUGAAAAAAUGGAUAUUCGUAUAUUUGGCCAGUCCAUUCGUAAAGUGCUCAAUGGAUCAUGGCAAAGUGUUAUAUUACCAAUUGAAGGUCUAUGAAAAAAAAACAUCGGUCACAAGGGAGGGAGACUUGAGCGACCGGUUCAUUCGCUGGAUGGUGGAUCGACUAUCAAACAUUUUCGUUCAGUGGGCAGCUCGCGAUCGAGCAAACCAACGGCCACUUUAGCUUCCCCUUCGGCUACCAGGCCUCCAGGGCAAAUUACAAAAUUUCUAUAGACCAAAAAUAGAAAAUGCCAUGAUCCAAAAAUGUCAUCUCUUAAUAAACAAAAUAUUCCAUCCCAUCUAUCAAUAAACAAAAAAUAUCAUCUCUUAAUAAAAAUGUCAUAUCUUAAUAAUCAAAAAAUUUAUCUCUCAAAUAGGAGAUGACAUCUUUAAAUAUAAAAAUGCAAUCUCUUAACAUAAAAAUGACAUCUCUUAUAAAUAGUAAUAAAAUGUCAUCUCUUAAUAAAACAAAAAUUCUACCUUUUAACAUCAAAAUAUCAUCUCUUAACAUAAAAAAUGCAUCCCCUAUAAAAAGUAAAUAAUGUCAUCUCUUGAUAAUAAAAAAUGUCAUCUCUCAAUAUAAAAAUAAAUGUCAUUUCUUAAAUAAAUAAAAAUGUCAUCUCUUAUAAUAAUAAAAUGCCAUGUGACAUAGUUUCAAAGUUUAUAAAAAAUGCCAUGUUGAUUUUCCCCUAGAGAAAAUGUUAUCUGGUCAAAAAAAGGUGGGGACUAGGAUUCGAACCAAGGCGACCCAAACAAAAUUUUGUUCGGUCACACCUACCGGGCUGGCUCUUUUUUAUUUUCGAACACACUACUCGGCUAGCUCUUUUUUAUUUUUGAACACACUACUGGCUGGCUCUAGUACUUUGAAAAAAUGUUUCGCUAGCGAUUUCCUUAGGCUUUAUUUGGUUACACCCCUUUCCUUGGGGAUUGGAGGGGAUUUAGGGGGAUUUUGACUUGUAGGAGGUCUAAUCCCUCUCAAUCCCUGCCAAAAGACCUUUAAAUACAUGUUAAUCGAACGAAUCCUUACGAGGAAGAGGUUUGGGGAACCGACGUGCCACGGAUCCCGUGUCAGUAUUCAUGCAAAGGAAUACAAUGGGAAAUGGAGGUCGUUGUGAAAUUCUCAUCGCUGGUGGUCACUGGUUAUGAUCACCGAAAUAAAAAAGGUUGGUAUUUCACACUACCGUUGUGAAUCAAGAAAUACGUACUUGGUGCUCCUGUUUAAGUUUCAGACGAUAAAGUUUUGCUACCCGGUUUUUCCAUUUCGGGAAAAGUUAGCGAAAUAAAUAGUGUUCAAGGAUUAAAAAGUGUUAUUAUUUUUCUAAGGAGUUCAUAAACGUAUAAAUUCAUAAAUUUUAGAAGAUAUAUUCACAAAUUUAAAAAUAUUUGUGAACUCUAAGUAAUAUUGAAAAAAAGUUAAAUGAAUUGAAAAAAUAAAAAUACUUAAAACAUAGAAUUAUAAAAAUAAGAGAAAGAAAAUUUGGCAGAAUUCUUUUAGAACCUUCCAAAAAUAAUGUUGGAAGGUUGCUAAUAUAGUGCGCCAAUUUGGAGGGCGCGCGGUGGAGCAGGGGUGACUGUGUCGGAAGGCGCAUCGUGGAUGUGUAAGGAAGCGUGGUGCUGGCGAUCUGUUGCGAGGCGGUCGAGCAUGUGCGUGACGGCAACUAUGGGCAGAUCUGGGCCCAUGGCCGCUGUUGUGGUGCUCGGACGACGAUGAAUGUGUUUGUGGUAUUCCGGUCUGGAUGUGAGGAUUGACAGGUCCUUAUUUGGGGACCCCCUAUAUGCGGCAAGUAGUCGGCAAAGCGCCCAAGGACAGUUUACUUGGACCGGCCCAUUAUAGUGCGCAGGAGAACAAGGGUUAAAAAUUAUAAAAUAGGUCCCCGAAAACUGGGAUUCGAACUUGCCACAACGCGCUGAUGUGCGCACGAGGAAAACCAUCACGAUCGAAGUGCUCUUGCGACAGAUAUGCAUCACCAAACUAGAAGAACUGUACAAAUAUCAAAACUAAAUAUCCUUCAAUAAAUAUAUAUUUUUGAAAUUUCCAGAUAUCAUGAACUUAUCUUGAAAUUCCCGCACUUAAUUAAAACACAAACAACCUUGCAAAUCUCAAACAAUUUUCUAAAACGCAACUUUUUUAUAUAAAUUUAACAUUUCUCAGAAAAAGAACGAAUUAUAAAAAUAGUGAAUUUAUUUUGAAAUUUCAAAUUUUUUCUGAGAUCAUAAAAAUAUUUUAAGUUUUGAAAAAAUGGAAAAUAUAAACACUUUUGAAAUUCAGAAACAAAAAAGUUCAAACAGAACAUUUUUAAUACAACAAUUUUCUAUUUUAUACAUUUUUGGAAAUGCAAACAAACUUUGAAAUAUAGGAACAUUUGUUGAAAUUGCAAACAAAAAGUUAAAACCACGAACAUUUUUCUGAAAUGGUCAAUGAAUUUUCAAAACGAGAACAAUUUUUGAAAUUCCUAAACAUAUUUUGAAACUUGGAUACUUUUCUGAAAUUGUGAAAACUUUGAAAACAGGAGCAUUAUUUGAAAUUACCGAACUUUUUUUACAGACGAAUAAUUUCUGCCAUUAUGAAAAAGUAAUUAAAAACUGGAACAUUUUUAGAAAUAGAAGAAAUUUUAAAAUCACAACAUUUUUUGUAUUUGUGAAAAAAAUGAAAAUUUAGGGGAAAAAUUGAACGCCUGAACAAUUUUUGAAACACCUAACAAAAUUUGGAAAAAGCAAACAUUUGUUCUUUCAAGUUUGCAUUUUAUUUUUGAAAAUAUCUCGAACAUAUUUUGAAUUUGUGAACAAAAAUUGAAAUAUGGGGUACAAUUCUGAACUUCUCAACCUUUUUAAAAACCAGAACAAAAAUUACACAAAAGAAACAUUUUUUCAAACAUGCGAACGUUUUAUGGAAACAAUGAAAUUUCACAAAAUUAUGAACAAAAUUGAAAAUUCAUGAACAUUUUUUGAACAUCUGAACAAUUUUUAAACCUUGAAUAAAAGUUGGAAAAGGCAAAGAUUUUUUCAAUUAGGCAAACAAUUUUUGAAAAUCAUGUAUAUUUGUCAACAUUUUUUUUAAUAGGUACUUAUUUUGAAAUUCUAAACAAUAUUUGAAAUUCACGUACAUUAUCGAAAUUCGGGUACAAAAUUCAAAAACAAGAACAUUUGUGUAUAAAAUAUAAAAAUUGUGAGAAAAAUAAUAAAAAAAUUGAACAUUUUUAAAAACACAAAUAUCUUUAAAUAAAGAAAAUAAACUUAAAGUAGGAAAAUAAAUAAGAAUAAGCUUAAAUUGUGAAAAACAGAGAACAACAAAUUUUGUAACCGUGAACAUUUGUUGAAAUCUGAACAAAAUUGCAAAAACACGAACAUUUUUGAAAAAAAACUUUUUUUAUUUAUAAAUGUUUAAAAAUAAGAAUGUAUUUUAAAAAAAUAGAAAUAAAAAAGGAAAGAAAAGAAGAGAAAAGGUAAAACAGAAAACAUUAACAAAAAAGGAAAUAAAAAUAAAAAUGAAGGGAAAAGGGAAAAAGUAUCAAGAAAAAAAACGAAAAAGGAACGGAAAUAGAAAUAAACUGAUCAGGAAACUUUUAUAAGGUUCCCAAAACUAGGAAAACUAGGUGGACCUUCGAGAAUGUUCCCAAAACAAGAAUCUAUACAAUGCACGCCUUACUUUUAAAUGGCCCGGCCCGUGUGGGUCGAUGCAUGUGCGGUGCCCCGACUAUUUAACACAAACUGCGUCAAAUAGGAAAUUCCCCAUAUUUGAUGGUCGGUGUGUUUGGUGGAGGCAGAAGUGGGCCGGUGGUGGACAGAACGAAUUUGGGCACCCAUGCCCUGAUGUGGUGGUGGUGUCCUCUGGGCGCGGUAGUCGUGGUGCGGGCUCGAUCCGAGCGGGGAUGUGGUUGCCAUGUUCCCUGAUUUGGCUACCUUGGUGGUGGUGGCUGCUAUGCUACAAGACGCGUCUCACCUUUUAGAAAACGUUGCAUGGGAAAUAAAAAAUUCUACGCAUACGCAAGAUUUAUCCAUGAAGAUAUCUAGUUUACGAGAGGGAGAGUGUGUUUGCAUAUCCUUGUAGACCAUUAAGCACAAGCGUUAGAGACGUGGUUGAUGUAGUCGUACGUCUUCACGAUCCAAUCACGGUCCGUGCCGAUCUAGCGCCAAAUGGAUGACACCUCCGCGUUCAGCACACGUGCAUCUCGAUGACGUCUCCGCCUCCCUGAUCCAUCGAGCGACGACGAAGUAGUAGAUGGGAUCUCCGACAGCAUGGCGGCGUGGCGAAGGUGGUGGUGCACCUACUUCAGUUGGCUUCGCCAAGCGCUGCAGAACUAGGAGGAAGGAGAAAAGGGAGGGAGAGAGAGUAACUGUCAAGGCGUGGGGAAGAGGUGCAUGGCAGCCCCCCCACCCCUCCUUUAUUUAUAGGGCAGGGGGAGGUGCACCGGUGAAAAGACCUCGAUGACGCCUAGAGGGGGGGGGGGUGAAUAGGCUAUUUAAAAACUUCUUCAGAUUUGGCUUGAACCUGAUGCGGAAAUAAACUAAGAGGGUACUUGUCAAGCACAAAUCCUAAAUGCACUAGGCACUGCAACGUGUAUCAACAACACGAUCUACUAAGAUGGACACAAUGCAGUUACUAACAAGCACAAGUAAGUUACACAAACUUACUUGAGCUAUAUCACACGACAAGUAGGUGAACAACACAAGAUACUAGAUCACACUAUAUCACACGAUAUAUCAAGGGCUGCAAGUAUGUACGUCCGAAUAUAGAGGGUAUGCUUGAAUGAUUAAUCUUGUACAAGAAAUGGCCAACACAAUAUAAUGAGCACAAGCAAUAUGCAAUGUAUGUAUGCUCAAAUAACACAAGUAAACCACAAGUAAGGAGUUAGGGUUAAGGAUAACCAAGGUCACUGAGACGAAGAUGUAUCCCGAUGUUCACUUCCUUGGAGGGAAGCUAGUCACCGUUAGAGUGGUGGAUGUUACCACGAAGGCACACCAACGCCACGAAGGCUCACCCUAUUCUCCCUUUGAGAUAACUCCACGAAGGCGUUUCUCAACCACUAGUGGUAAGCCUUUGAGGUGGCUUCCAAACCCUCACAAACUUUUCCGGGGGAAAUCACACGGAUUGAUUCCUCUCCGAAGAACUCCUACCGCCUAGGAGUCUCCAACCUCCAAGAGUAACAAGAUCACGGGGAAUGCUCAAAACUUGCUCAAAUCACAAAUAGCUUGGGUUGAGAGAAGGAGAGGGAGAAGAUCUAUCUUUUGAUUGGAACAACUCUCAAAGGGGCUCACAAAUGCUCUUGGGAUCUAAGAUUUGGAGUGAGCAAAUGUGUGUGAGGUGGAAAUGUGUUCUUAUGAGGAUAAGGCUGUGUUGGGCAACCCUCUCACGAAGUGGGAGGGGGUAUUUAUAGUGUGGAGAGAAAAAGAGCCGUUGGGGACACUUUAAGUCACACAGGGUCCGGACGUCCGACAGUUGUCGGAAGUCCGGGCUUCCGUGAGGGGCCGGACGUCCGACCGGGGUCGGACGUCAGAGACUUUUAGGCAUGACUGGAACUCUUCUGAAUUCGCCCUANNNNNNNNNNNNNNNNNNNNNNNNNNNNNNNNNNNNNNNNNNNNNNNNNNNNNNNNNNNNNNNNNNNNNNNNNNNNNNNNNNNNNNNNNNNNNNNNNNNNCUUAAGAUUACGAGCCCAGUCUACAAAGUUGCUUCCAUCAUCUUUCAACUUAGCUUUCUCUAGGAACGUAUUAAAAUUCAGGAUGACUGUCGCGUGAGCCAUGAUCUACAACACAAAUAUAUUCAAAGUGGACUUAGACUAUGUUCAAGAUAAUUAGAGUUUAACUUAAUCAAAUUAUUCGCUAAACUCCCACUCAAAAAGUACAUCUCUCUAGUCAUUUGAGUGGUUCAUGAUCCACUUACACUAGCUCAAGUCCGAUCAUCACGUGAGUUGAGUAUAGUUUCAGUGGUAAGCAUCCCUAUGCUAAUCAUAUCAUCCAUAUGAUUCAUGAUCGACCUUUCGGUCUCAUGUGUUCCGAGGCCAUUCUGCACAUGCUAGGCUCAUCAAGCUUAACCCGAGUGUUCCGCGUGCGCAACUAUUUUGCACCCGUUGUAUGUGGACGUUGAGUCUAUCACACCCGAUCAUCACGUGGUGUCUCGAAACGACGAACUGUAGCAACGGUGCACAGUCGGGGAGAACACAAUUUCGUCUUGAAAUUUUAGUGAGAGAUCACCUCAUAAUGCUACCAUCGUUCUAAGAAAAAUAAGGUGCAUAAAAGGAUUAACAUCACAUGCAAUUCAUAAGUGACAUGAUAUGGCCAUCAUCACGUGCUUCUUGAUCUCCAUCACCAAAGCACCGGCACGAUCUUCUUGUCACCGGCGCCACACCAUGAUCUCCAUCAACGUGUUGCCAUCGGGGUUGUCGUGCUACUCAUGCUAUUACUACUAAAGCUACAUCCUAGCAAAAUAGUAAACGCAUCUGCAAGCACACACGUUAGUAUAAAGACAACCCUAUGGCUCCUGCCGGUUGCCGUACCAUCGACGUGCAAGUCGAUAUUUCUAUUACAACAUGAUCAUCUAAUACAUCCAAUAUAUCACAUCACAUCAUUGUCCAUAUCGCAUCACAAGCAUACCCUGCAAAAACAAGUUAGACGUCCUCUAAUUUUGUUGUUGCAUGUUUUACGUGGUGACCAUGGGUAUCUAGUAGGAUCGCAUCUUACUUACGCAAACACCACAACGGAGAUAUAUGAGUUGCUAUUUAACCUCAUUCAAGGACCUCCUCGGUCAAAUCCGAUUCAACUAAAGUUGGAGAAACUGACACUUGCCAGUCAUCUUUGAGCAACGGAGUUACUCGUAACGAUGAAACCAGUCUCUCGUAAGCGUACGAGUAAUGUCGGUCCAAGCCGCUUCAAUCCAACAAUACCGCGGAAUCAAGAAAAGACUAAGGAGGGCAGCAAAACGCACAUCACCGCCCACAAAAACUUUUGUGUUCUACUCGAGAAGACAUCUAUGCAUGAACCUAGCUCAUGAUGCCACUGUUGGGGAACGUCGCAUGGGAAACAAAAAAUUUCCUACGCGCACGAAGACCUAUCAUGGUGAUGUCCAUCUACGAGAGAGGAUGAGUGAUCUACGUACCCUUGUAGAUCGUACAGCAGAAGCGUUAGUGAACGCGGUUGAUGUAGUGGAACGUCCUCACGUCCCUCGAUCCGCCCUGCGAACAAUCCCGCGAUCAGUCCCACGAUCUAGUACCGAACAGACGGCACCUCCGCGUUCAGCACAUGUACAGCUCGACGAUGAUCUCGGCCUUCUUGAUCCAGCAAGAGAGACGGAGAGGUAGAUGAGUUCUCUGGCAGCGUGACGCCGCUUNNNNNNNNNNNNNNNNNNNNNNNNNNNNNNNNNNNNNNNNNNNNNNNNNNNNNNNNNNNNNNNNNNNNNNNNNNNNNNNNNNNNNNNNNNNNNNNNNNNNUGGAUGAGUCUAAGCUACGUAGAAGAAGAUAAAGAGAAGAAGAAGUAAAAGGAGGAGGAGGAGGAGGAGGAGGAGGAGAAGGAGAAGGAAGAGGAGAAGAAGAAGAAAAGAAGAAGGAGAAGGAGAAGGAGGAAGAAGGAGGAAGAAUAAGGAGAAGGAGGAGCUCCUUCUCCUUCUUCUCCUUCUCCUUAUCCUCAUCCUUCUCCUUCUUCUUCUUCUCUUCUUCUUCUUCUUCCUUCCUUUCAUUUUUCCUCUUUCUUCUCCUCUUGUCCCCUUCUUCGGGCUAAAUUGCCUAAGAAUGCCUUUUUGGACCUAAUUAUGUCAUUUCGAGGAUAAUUAGCUAAGUAUAAGUCAUGUUUUAUUAAAUAGACCAUUUAGGAGCUAACUAAGCUAAUUAUGUCAUCUAGGUGGAACCCUAGCUAACUAUAGGUCGUUUCGGAGCUAACUUGGGUAAAAUAGGUCAUUCUGGAGCAAACUAUGCUUANNNNNNNNNNNNNNNNNNNNNNNNNNNNNNNNNNNNNNNNNNNNNNNNNNNNNNNNNNNNNNNNNNNNNNNNNNNNNNNNNNNNNNNNNNNNNNNNNNNNNNNNNNNNNNNNNNNNNNNNNNNNNNNNNNNNNNNNNNNNNNNNNNNNNNNNNNNNNNNNNNNNNNNNNNNNNNNNNNNNNNNNNNNNNNNNNNNNNNNNNNNNNNNNNNNNNNNNNNNNNNNNNNNNNNNNNNNNNNNNNNNNNNNNNNNNNNNNNNNNNNNNNNNNNNNNNNNNNNNNNNNNNNNNNNNNNNNNNNNNNNNNNNNNNNNNNNNNNNNNNNNNNNNNNNNNNNNNNNNNNNNNNNNNNNNNNNNNNNNNNNNNNNNNNNNNNNNNNNNNNNGGGGAAUAGGUCAUCUUGUAGCUACGUAAGCCUUAUUAUGUCAUUUAGGAGAGAACUUAGCUAACUGUAGGUCAUUUUUUAUUAAAUAAGUCAUUUUGGAGCUAACUAAGCUAAUUAUGUCAUUUCAUAGGAUAAUUAGCCAAUUUUGGCCUUUCUUGGAUGAGUCUAAGCUACGUAGAAGAAGAGAAAGAGAAGAAGAAGUAAAAGAAAGAGGAGCAGGAGGAGGAGAAGGAGAAGGAAGAGGAGAAGAAGAAGAAAAGAAGAAGGAGAAGGAGAAGGAGGAAGAAGGAGGAAGAAGAAGGAGAAGGAGGAGCUCCUUCUCCUACUUCUCCUUCUCCUUAUCCUCCUCCUUCUCCUUCUUCUUCUUCUCUUCUUCUUCUUCUGUUGGAAAUAUGCCCUAGAGGCAAUAAUAAAUUAGUUAUUAUUAUAUUUCUUAGUUCAUGAUAAUCGUUUAUUAUCCAUGCUAUAAUUGUAUUGAUUGGAAACACAAUACUUGUGUGGAUACAUAGACAAAACACUGUCCCUAUUAAGCCUCUAGUUGACUAGCUCGUUGAUCAAAGAUGGUCAAGGUUUCCUGGCCAUAGGCAAGUGUUGUCACUUGAUAACGGGAUCACAUCAUUAGGAGAAUCAUGUGAUGGACUAGACCCAAACUAAUAGACGUAGCAUGUUGAUCGUGUCAUUUUGUUGCUACUGUUUUCUGCGUGUCAAGUAUUUGUUCCUAUGACCAUGAGAUCAUAUAACUCACGGACACCGGAGGAAUGCUUUGUGUGUAUCAAACGUCGCAACGUAACUGGGUGACUAUAAAGAUGCUCUACAGGUAUCUCCAAAGGUGUUCGUUGAGUUAGUAUAGAUCGAGACUGGGAUUUGUCACUCCGUGUGACGGAGAGGUAUCUCGGGGCCCACUCGGUAAUACAACAUCACACACAAGCCUUGCAAGCAAUGUAACUUAAUGUAAGUUGCGGGAUCUUGUAUUACGGAACGAGUAAAGAGACUUGCCGGUAAAUGAGAUUGAAAUAGGUAUGCGGAUACUAACGAUCGAAUCUCGGGCANNNNNNNNNNNNNNNNNNNNNNNNNNNNNNNNNNNNNNNNNNNNNNNNNNNNNNNNNNNNNNNNNNNNNNNNNNNNNNNNNNNNNNNNNNNNNNNNNNNNUCGAAAUGACAUAAUUAGGUCGAAAAAUGCAUUCUUAGCCAAUUUAGCCUGAAGAAGGGGACAAGAGGAGAAGAAAGAGAAAAAAUGAAAGGAAGGAAGAAGAAGAAGAAGAGAAGAAGAAGAAGGAGAAGGAGGAGGAUAAGGAGAAGGAGAAGAAGGAGGAGAUGAAGGAGAAGGUGCUCCUCCUUCUCCUUAUUCUUCCUCCUUCUUCCUCCUUCUCCUUCUCCUUCUUCCUUUCUUCUUCUUCUCCUCUUCCUUCUCCUUCUCCUCCUCAUCCUCCCCCUCCUCCUCCUUCUUUUACUUCUUAUUCUCUUUCUCUUCUUCUACGUAGCUUAGACUCAUCCAAGAAAGGCUAAAUUGGCUAAUUAUCCUACGAAAUGACAAUUAGCUUAGUUAGCUCCAAAAUGACCUAUUUAAUAAAAAAUGACCUCAGUUAGCUAAGUUCUCUCCUAAAUGACAUAAUAAGGCUUACGUAGGUGCAAUAUGACCUAUUCCCCCUAANNNNNNNNNNNNNNNNNNNNNNNNNNNNNNNNNNNNNNNNNNNNNNNNNNNNNNNNNNNNNNNNNNNNNNNNNNNNNNNNNNNNNNNNNNNNNNNNNNNNCACAUCUGCAGGCCUCGGACGACCGACCCCUAUCGGACGUCCGGCCGCUGAUGAAUUCAGAAGAGUUCCAGUCAUGCCUAAAAGUCUCUGACGUCCGACCCCGGUCGGACGUCCGGCCCCUCACGGAAGCCCGGACUUCCGACAACUGUCGGACGUCCGGACCCUGUGUGACUUAAAAUGUCCCCAACGGCUCUUUUUCUCUCCACACUAUAAAUACCCCCCUCCCACUUCGUGAGAGGGUUACCCAACACAGCCUUAUCCUCAUAAGAACACAUUUCCACCUCACACACAUUUGCUCACUCCAAAUCUUAGAUCCCAAGAGCAUUUGUGAGCCCCUUUGAGAGUUGUUCCAAUCAAAAGAUAGAUCUUCUCCCUCUCCUUCUCUCAACCCAAGCUAUUUGUGAUUUGAGCAAGUUUUGAGCAUUCCUCAUUGAAAAGGAUUGAGAUGGACCUAGAGGGGGGGUGAAUAGGUACAAAUCCAAAUUUUAACAAUUACUUAGCAAUUUUAGGCUAGAGUGCGGAAUAUAAGUGUAAGCCUAAUAAUUGCUAUGACAAAGAGUAAGCUAUUAGGAGUGAAGCAAGGCAAGUGGUAAACAAUAAGCAAAUACAAGUAUGUAAUAAGGAUUAACACAAGUAGAGAGUUAGGGUUAGGAAUAACCGAAACUCCGAGAGAGACAAGGAUGUAUCCCGAUGUUCACUUCCUUGGAGGGAAGCUACGUCACCGUUAGAGGGGCGGAUGUUACCACGAAGGCACACCAAAGCCACGAAGGCUCACCCUAUUCUCCCUUUGAGAUAACUCCACGAAGGCGUUUCUCAACCACUAGUGGUAAGCCUUGAGGUGGCUUCCAAACCUUCACAAACUUUUUGGGGGAUAUCACAAUGGUUUGAUUCCUCUCCGAAGACUCCUACCGCCUAAGAGUCUCCAACCUCCAAGAGUAACAAGAUCACGGGGAUUGCUCAAAACUUGCUCAAAUCACAAAUCACUUUGGUGGGAAGGAGGAGAGGGAGACGAUCUAUCUUUUGAUUGGAACAACACUCAAAAGGACUCACAAAUGCUCUUGGGAUCUAGGAUUUGGUGUAGACAAGAGUGAAUGAGAGGAAAGGUGUUCUUGGAUGUGUCUUAGCUGUGUUGAACACCCUUUCACGAGGUGGGAGAAGAGUAUUUAUAGUGUGGAGUGAAAUCCAGCUGUUGGAGGUGCAAUAAGUCACACAGGGUCUGGACGUCCGACACUUGUCGGAAGUCAGGGCGUCCGUGAGGGGCCGGACGUCCGACAGGGGUCGGACGUCCGAGACCUGUAGGCAUGCCUGGAACUCUUCUGAAUUCAUCAGCGGCCGGACGUCCGACAGGAGUCGGUCGUCCGAGGCAUGUAGAUAUUUGAAUUCAUCAGCAUACGGACGUCCGGAAUGGCCCGGAAGUCCGUGUUAUACAGCACAAUUUCUACUGGUGGUGGCUUCCGGAUUUCCGAUGGGUGUCGGACAUCCGGCGCUCGGACGUCCGGAGGGAGCCGGAUUUCCGAGAUAUAGUGCACACAAACUACUGGUGUUGCCCUCCGGAUUUCCGGAGCUUGGCCGGACGACUGGCCCUCGGACGUCCGGAGGGAGCCGGAUUUCCGAGAUCUAAGCCUAACAAACUACUGGUAUCUGGCUGCGGAUUUCCGAAGCCAGCCGGACGUCCAGCCCUCGGACGUCCGGAGGGAGCCGGAUGUCCGAGGAGAUUUGACAUANNNNNNNNNNAGAUUUAUGGAGCUUGGCCGGACGACCGGCCCUCGGAUGUCCGGAGGGAGCCGGAUUUCCGAGAUAUAAGCCUAACAAACUACUGGUGUCUGGCUGCGGAUUUCCGAAGCCAGCCGGACGUCCGGCCCUCGGACGUCCGGAGGGAGCCGGAUGUCCGAGGAGAUUUGACAUAUGUUGAAUUUUAGAGAGUGGACAGUAUGUGGUGUUUGAUAUGGUUGUAGAGAUGUGGUAUGAGCAAGUUUAUCGCAAAGCCUGUGAUCCCCUCUUAAUAGUGCGGGAUCCCUAUACUCAAUAUUAGUAAACUCAAAAGACUAUUCUACAACAUCUCUUCUUAAUCCCGAGUCUUCUCGAAAUAUAACUCACCAAUCUUUUCAGGCAACCUUUGGCACAUAAAUCUUAAUAUACUAAAGUACUUGCCGUCCUGAGAUACACUCAACAAAUAGGAUUAGUUUCCUAUGUAUGUGUUGUCAUUAACACCAAAAUACAAUUAGGGGCAUAGCAUGCACUUUCACCCGUGAUCUUGUUACUCUUGGAGGUUGGAGACUCCUAGGCGGUAGGAGUUCUUCGGAGAGGAAUCAAUCCGUGUGAUUUCCCCCGGAAAAGUUUGUGAGGGUUUGGAAGCCACCUCAAAGGCUUACCACUAGUGGUUGAGAAACGCCUUCGUGGAGUUAUCUCAANNNNNNNNNNNNNNNNNNNNNNNNNNNNNNNNNNNNNNNNNNNNNNNNNNNNNNNNNNNNNNNNNNNNNNNNNNNNNNNNNNNNNNNNNNNNNNNNNNNNUCAGUGCCAAGUGCCAGUUUCUGUUUUUUCGUGUUUUUGGCCCAUUUUCAGACGGAGUCCAAAUGGAAUGAAACUUUAGGAUGAUUUUUUUUGGACCAAAAGAGACCCCCAAAGCUUUGGGAGAAGGCCAGAUGGACCACGAGGGAGUCACAAGCCCUCAUGCCGCCACCCCCCCCCCCCCNNNNNNNNNNNNNNNNNNNNNNNNNNNNNNNNNNNNNNNNNNNNNNNNNNNNNNNNNNNNNNNNNNNNNNNNNNNNNNNNNNNNNNNNNNNNNNNNNNNNNNNNNNNNNNNNNNNNNNNNNNNNNNNNNNNNNNNNNNNNNNNNNNNNNNNNNNNNNNNNNNNNNNNNNNNNNAAUCAAUUCAGAAACCCCCCAAAAAACCUAGAUCGGGAGUUCCGCCGCCGCAAGCCUCUGUAGCUACCAAAAACCAAUCUGGAGCCCGUUCUGGCACCCUGCCGGAGGGGGGGAAUCCAUCUCCGGUGGCCAUCUUCAUCAUCCCGACGAUCUCCAUGACGAGGAGGGACUAGUUCUCCCUCGGGGCUGAGGGUGUGUACCAGUAGCUAUGUGUUUGAUCUCUCUCUCUCGUGUUCUUGAGAUGUCUUGAUCUCGACGUACCAUGGGCUUUGCUACUAUAGUUGGAUCUUAUGAUGUUCUUCCCCCUCUCCUUCUUGUAAUGAAUUGAGUUUCCCCUUUGAAGUUAUCUUNNNNNNNNNNACAUGUUUUGUAUGCAUGAAUAUGCUAUUUUAUAUCUUUUCUGGGACUAACCUAUUAACUCAGUGCCAAGGGCCAGUUUCUGUUUUUUCGUGUUUUUGGCCCAUUUUCAGACGGAGUCCAAAUGGAAUGAAACUUUACGAUGAUUGUUUUUGGACCAAAAGAGACCCCCGAAGCUUUGGGAGAAGGCUAGAUGGGCCACGAGGGAGUCACAAUCCCUCACGCCGCCACCCCCCCCCCCCCCNNNNNNNNNNNNNNNNNNNNNNNNNNNNNNNNNNNNNNNNNNNNNNNNNNNNNNNNNNNNNNNNNNNNNNNNNNNNNNNNNNNNNNNNNNNNNNNNNNNNNNNNNNNNNNNNNNNNNNNNNNNNNNNNNNNNNNNNNNNNNNNNNNNNNNNNNNNNNNNNNNNNNNNNNNNNNNNNNUAUAAAUUUAGAAACCCCCAAAAAAACCUAGAUCGGGAGUUCCGCCACCGCAAGCCUGUGUAGCCACCAAAAACCAAUCUGGAGCCCGUUCCGGCACCCUGCUGGAGGGGGAAUCCAUCUCCGGUGGCCAUCUUCAUCAUCCCGGCGAUCUCCAUGACGAGGAGGGAGUAGUUCUCCCUCGGGGCUGAGGGUAUGUACCAGUAGCUAUGUGUUUGAUCUCUCUGUCUUGUGUUCUUGAGAUGUCUUGAUCUCGAUGUACCAUGGGCUUUGCUACUAUAGUUGGAUCUUAUGAUGUUUUUCCCCUCUCCUUCUUGUAAUGAAUUGAGUUUCCCCUUUGAAGUUAUCUUAUCGAAUUGAGUCUUUGAGAACACUUGAUGUAUGUCUUGCACGUGUCUAUAUGCUGUGAUCAACUUGCGGGUUUGUGACAAUUGGGAACCUAUGCAUAUGGGUUGGCACACGUGGAUUCAUGUGAGUACUUGAUGUAUAUUUUGGUGAUCAACUUGCGGGUUCGUGACAUUGGGAACCUAUCCACGCGGGUUGGCACACGUUUUGACUCUCUGGUAGAAACUUUGCGGCACUCUUNNNNNNNNNNCAUUCUGAGAUUAUGUGAUGCAUAUCGUAUAAUCAUGCCCACAGAUACUUGAGGUGACAAUGGAGUAUCUAGGUGACAUUAGGGUCUUGGUUGAUAUGUAUCUUAAGGUGUUAUUCUAGUACGAACUCUAUGAUGGAUCGAACGGAAAGAAUAGCUUCGUGUUAUUUUACUACGGACUCUUGAAUAGAUCGAUCAGAAAGAAUAACUUUGUGGUGGUUUCGUACCCGACAAUAAUCUCUUUGUUUGUUCCCCGCUAUUAGUGACUUUGGAGUGACUCUUUGUUGCAUGUUGAGGGCUAGUUAUAUCCAAUUAUGUUAUCAUUGUUGAGAGAACUUCACUAGUGAAAGUAUGAACCCUAGGCCUUGUUNNNNNNNNNNGAUCCAAUUAUGUUAUAAUUGUUGAGAGAACUUCACUAGUGAAAGUAUGAACCCUAGGCCUUGUUUCCACGCAUGGCAAUACCAUUCGUGCUCACUUUUACCAUUUGUUACCUUGCUGUUUUUGUAAUUUCAGAUUACAAAAACCUAUAUCUACCGUCCAUAUUCCACUUGUAUCACCAUCUCUUCGCCGAACUAGUGCACCUAUACAAUUUACCAUUGUAUUGGGUGUGUUGGGGACACAAGAGACUCUUUGUUAUUUGGUUGCAGGGUUGCUUGAGAGAGACCAUCUUCAUCCUACGCCUCCCACGGAUUGAUAAACCUUAGGUCACCCACUUGAGGGAAAAUUGCUACUGUCCUACAAACCUCUGCACUUGGAGGCUCAACAACGUUUACAAGGAGAAGGUUGCGUAGUAGACAUCAAGUUCUUUUCUGGCGCCGUUGCCAAGGAGGUUAGCACUUGAAGGUAUAUCUUUAGAUCUUGCAAUCGAAUCUUUUUGUUUCUUGUUCUUUCGCUAGAAAACUACAAAAAAAAAUGGAAUUGAGGAUCCCUCAUAUGCUCCAUCUUUUCAAUGUCUUUCGUGAGCAUGAUGGGAAGGAAAAUUGUGCUCAAGUGCUGAAAGAAGAAUUACAUAGAAUGCUUGGCAUACAAUAUGUGAAUGAUGAGCAUGAUUGCAAUGUUUUUAGCAUGAAUUCUAUGAAUAGCCAUGAUGCUAAUGAUAUGCAAAGCCACAAACUUGGGGAUGCUAUAUUUGAUGAAGAUGAUCUUUUUAGUUCUUCCACUUUGAAUGGUCAAAAUUAUUUUGAUGAAAGCAUGCCCCCUAUCUAUGAUGAUUAUUGUGAGGAUACUUAUGCUUUGAAAAAGAGGGAUGAUAAAGCUUGUCAUACUUUCGAAAACCCCUUUGCUAAACCUUGCUUUUUCAUUAUGGACACAAUUUAGUGCUCAAGUCUUUUACGAUACUCCCACUACUAUUCUUGAGAAUAGAUUUCCUUAUGUGGAGAGUAGUAAAAUUUCUAUGCUUGUAGAUCAUGAAAAGAAAGCUUUAGGUGUUGGUUAUAUUGUUGAAUUCAUUCAUGAUGCUACUGAAAAUUACUAUGAGAGAGGAUCAUAUGCUUCUACUUAUUGCAAUAGUACCAAGCUUCCUCUCCAUAUGUUGAAAUUUUUGAAGCUAUGCUUGUUUUGCCUUCCUAUGCUAGUUGAUUCUUGCUCCAAUAAAUUGGUUGAUCACAAAAUCCCUAUGCAUAGGAAGUGGGUUAGACUUAAAUGUGCUAGCCAUUUGCUCCAUGAUGCUCUCAUUGUGUUUCAAUCCUUACCUUUCAUGUGAGCAUCAUUGAAAUCAAUGCCUAGCUAAGGGCGUUAAACGAUAGCGCUUGUUGGGAGGCAACCCAAUGAAUAAAAUUUUCUUUGCUUUUUUGCUUCCUGUUUUGUUUUCUCCACACCAUCAUAAUUCUGUUAUGAUUGUGUUUUUUGUGUUUCUUUUUGCGUUUGUGCCAAGCAAAACCGUUAUGAUUAGUCUUGGGGAUGAUCGUUUGGUCAUGCUGGAAAAGACAGGAACUUUCUGCCCACGAAAAGAAUUUUCAUUUUUUUCUGUAAGAGCUUUGAGUUGAUUCUUUUUGCUGCUGAUUGCUACGCAAAUUCUUCAGACUGUCGUAAUGUUUCAGAAUUUUUGAAGUACCAGAGGUAUACAAAAUAUACAAAUUGCUACAGACUGGUCUGCUGUUAACAGAUUCUGUUUUUGUUGUGUUGGUUGCUUAUUUUGAUGAAACCAUGGAUAGUAUCGGGGGGUAUUAGCCAUGGAAGAUUAAAAAUACAGUAACCCAACAUCAGCAUAAGUAUAAUUUAAGUUUUCUACAGUACCUAAGGAAGUGGUGGUUUGCUUUCUCAUACUAAUGUUAUCACGAGUUUCUGUUUAAGUUUCGUGUUGUGAAGUUUUCAAGUUUUGGGUGAAGUUCUUAUGGACAAAGAGAUAAAGAGUGGAAAGAGCUCAAGCAUGGGGAUGCCCAAGGCACCCCAAGAGAUUCAAGGAUGUCGUAAAAGCCUAAGCUUGGGGAUGCCCCGGGAAGGCAUCCCCUCUCUCGUCUUCAAUCCAUCGGUAACGUUACUUGGGGCUAUAUUUUUAUUCACCACAUGAUAUGUGUUUUGCUUGGAGCGUCUUGUAUCGUAGGAGCCUUUUAUUUUUGUUGUGUCACAAUAUUCCUUGCUGCACACCUAGAGAGAUAGACAUGCACUCACCGUGAUUUCGUCGAGCUUCACUUAUAUCCUUUGGUAGACAAUUCAGCUCACAUGUGCUUCACUUAUAUCUUUUGAGCUAGACACUUUUGCUCUAUGUGCUUCACUUAUAUCUUUUAGAGCACAGCGGUGCGUGGCUUGGUAGUUGAUCUAUGCUUUGAAAGUAGUCUCAAAAGGGGUAGUUAUCCAAAGGGAUACGAAAACUUCCACCUUCAUGUGCAUUGAAUAGUUAGAGAAGUUUGAUUCAUCUCAAUUAGUUUUGAGUUCUGGUUUUGGUAAUAUUGAAGUCAUGCUAGUAAGGUGUUGUGGAUCUAGAAAUACUUGUGUUUAAUUUAGUGAUUCCCGUAGCAUGCACGUAUGGUGAACCGCUAUGUGAUGAAGUCUGAGCGUGAUUAGUCUUUUGAUUGUCAUCCUUUGCGUGGCGGUCGGGAUCGCGCGAUGGUUCAUACCUACCAACCCUUCCCCUAGGAGUAUGCGUUGAAUGCUUUGUUUUGAUUACUAAUAAAACUUUUGCAACAAGUAUAUGAGUUCUUCAUGACUAAUGUUGAGUCCAUGGUUUAGAUGCACUUUCACCUUCCACCAUCACUAUCUUCUUAGUGUCGUGCAACUUUCGCCGAUGCACAAAACCCACCAUUAUCCUCCCUCAAAACAGCCACCAUACCUACCUACUAUGGCUUUUUCAAAGCUAUUCCGAGAUAUAUUGCCAUGCAACUACCACCAUGACAUGUGCCACCACUUCUACAUUGCCAUUGCAUGAUCAUAAGAUAGCUAGCAUGAUGUUUCCAUUUGAUGUCUAUGCCAUGCUAGACCAUUGUCACGGUGCACUACCGAAGGCAUUCCAUAUAGAGUCAUCAUCGCUCUAAGUUUUGAGUUGUAAGUGUGAUGAUCAUCAUUGAUGGAGCAUUGUCCCAUGUGAGGAAAUAAAAGAGGCUAGUGAAUCCCAUAUACAAAAAGAGGCAAAAGAUGCCCACCAAAAAAAAGAGGCCAAAGAGCCCACCAAAAAAAUGAGAGAAAAAGAGAGAAGGGACAAUGUUACCACUUUUCCACACUUGUGCAUAUUAAGCACCAUGAUCUUCAGGAUUGAGAGUCUCUUGUUUUGUCACCACCAUAUAGCUAGUGGGAAAUUUUCAUUAUAUAACUUGGCUUGUAUAUUCCAAUGAUAGGCUUCCUCAAAAUUGCCUUAGGUCUUCGUGAGCAAGCAAGUUGGAUGCACACCCACUAGUUUUCUUUAAGAGCUUUCACAUACUCCUAGCUCUAGUGCAUCAUUUGUAUGGCAAUCCCUACUCAUUCAUGUUGAUAUCUAUUAAUGAGCAUCUCCAUAUCUCAUUGAUAUGCCUAGUCAAUGUGACCAUCUUCUCCUUGUUUGCCUUGCAACCUCCACCACACUCCAUUCCACUUAUAGUGCUAAAACCAUGGCUCACGCUCAUGUAUUGCGUGAGAGUUGAAAAGGUUUGAGAAAGUAAAGGUGUGAAACAAUUACUUGGCCAAUACCGGGGUUGUGCAUGAUUUAAAUUCUUGUGCAAUGAUGAUAGAGCAUAGCCAGACUAUAUGCUUUUGUAGGGAUAACUUUCUUUUGGCCUUGUUAUUUUGAAAGUUCAUGAUUACCUUGCUAGUUUGCUUGAAUUAUUAUUGUUUCCACGUCAAUAGCAAACUAUUGUUUUGAAUCUAAUGGAUUUGAACAUUCACGUCACAUAAGAGAAUUACAAAGGACAUCUAUGCUAGGUAGCAUGAAAGCAUCAAAAAUUCAUUCUUUAUCACUUCCCUACUCGAGGACGAGCACGAGUUAAGCUUGGGGAUGCUUGAUACGUCUCCAACGUAUCUAUAAUUUUUUAUGGUUCCAUGCUAUUANNNNNNNNNNNNNNNNNNNNNNNNNNNNNNNNNNNNNNNNNNNNNNNNNNNNNNNNNNNNNNNNNNNNNNNNNNNNNNNNNNNNNNNNNNNNNNNNNNNNGCCCCGGGUUGGCCCCGCACACGACUCUAGUUUGGACCAACACUCAUGAGGAGCACUGGCCCGGAUUGUUGAUUAAUUCCUCGGGGUAGAUGUUCCCUAUGAAAAUUAUUUUUAGGUGAUUAGCAAAUUAAAACCAAUGUUGGGUCAUGCCGGACAAGUCUUAACACUACACGAUUUAUCAAGGGGGUCCCCAUAACAACCCCGAACGUGUUAGGAGCGAUCAGUUAUGGAAUCAAACACCGGUAGCCGGAAACUAAGGCGGCAAUAACGGAACAAAUCACCCGGAAAAAGGCUAGGCCUUCCAUCAUUUACCAAGUAUAUAGGUGCAUUAAUUAAAUAACAGUUUAAAACAUAAUGUUAUCAAAUGCUCAUGUUAUCACAUGAGAUAGCUGGCACCUCCAACUAGCAAAGCUAUCAUUAGAAGUUGAGCAAGCCUACUUAGCCAAACAACAUUAGCUAGGAAGGGAAGGUGUUUGGGUUUCAUGGCAAUAUCAGGAGGAAAUUAUAUCAAGUGGUAGGCAGCGAGCAUAUAUCGAAGGAAACGUGAAGCUAAGCAUAACAAAGCUAGAUACGGUAUCAAGGUCACGGUCAUCUUGCAUGUGAUGUCUUCAGCUUGGAACUGCUCUUGUUCGUCCUGCACGUACUCUCCAGACUCCACGUACUCGCUCUCCGACCCCGGUGCUACCCAAGAUAAAAAUAACAGUCAAUGAACACCAACACAACAUGAUGCAACAAACACAUGAUGCAUGAGAUGAGAAUGAAGCAUGCAUAUCUAUUCUAGUCCCUUGCAUAUGCAUGAGAAGAGAAGAUAAACUUCUGGACAAAACUUCACACUAAGCUAUCUUGACAUGCAUGAAGAUGGCAUGAACAGGUGCAUCACGAGAAAACAAUGCAAAAACAUAUAAAGAACGUUGAGAACGGAGCUACGGAUCAACCGGAAACUACGAAACAAGAUAUGGAGUCCUACGGAACAAUCCCACCACAAGCACAUCCAAUGGCACACUUCUGGUAUUCCCAGGUUGCCACAUGAUCAAACAAACAAAUAUAGGUGGGGUGGUGCAAAGAAACUCACCACACCACCAACUAUGCACUCACAAGCUUCAAAACAACAAAACUAUGCAAUCUGUCCUAAACAGCAUCAUAGCAGUUUGUGAGCAACAUGCAAAGCACCUACAGCCACCCAAAUGUGCCAAACAAGACAUGUGGCAAAAUCUAUUCAAAAGCUCUACAAGCCUGAGCAAAAAGAUAAUACAAAGGAGUCACACACAAGAAGAUCUACACGUGCUAACUUGGACAAAAAUAACACAUUUCAGGGACUUAGUGACUCGGAUUUUCACCAGCUGCUUAUGAUGUGAAGCAUUUUGACAGCACCCAAAAUAAUAUCUACAUGAAGUGAAAGUGCAUGAAAUUUAACAGAGAGCUAGACAAACACAAAAUCUCCAACUCUCUAGUUGAUUUCAAGGGUUGAUUCCAAACACACGAGCUUUUGCAACCACAACAAUAAGGGAAGAAAGUUACAGCAGUUUCUCAGACUUAGUAAAAUUCACAAAGUUUCACCAAGCUGACAAUUUCAUCCACAUGCCAACUUUGACAAGGCACAACUUGCACAUACAAACUCCUAAGCAUAAAACAAAACUAUCAUGUUGUAGAGGGGUUCUCCCACUACUGCCACAUCAAGGAAUCAUCCUCAUAGGCUCGUCACACCACAUGGCACCAAGCUCUAAACAUAGCAUCAGGACAGAAAAAUGACAUUUCCAGAAAGUGUCCCAAAAUGAAAUAUGAUUCCACCAAUGGAUUCCUGGGAUGAUUUUACCCAAAAACAUAUAUAAUACCUAGGUACUCGCAUACAACAUGUAGGCACAAAGUUGAAAGGAAAAAUAACAUAGAAUCUUAUAGCUCAAAUAGUGCCAUAUCACAUGUGGUACUUACUAUCUCAUCACCUAACUUGCACAUGCUCACACUCACAACUCCAAUGGUGAACAUGAGGGUUAGACCUCAUGUAUGUGUGCCAUAGCACAUCACCACACACACUCACACAUGCUAGGGGUUCAAAGGAACUCCCCAUGCACACUAAGGCUAAAUCCAUGCAUUGGUCAUGUGUGUGUCAUACACACACAUGCACCUCACUACUCUCACACACAUGCACACACAUGGAUACAUACACACACACACUUGCUUGCUCAAACAUCUACAACCCUACACCUACUUCUCCAUACUACUCACAUGCACAUGUAUGUGUGGCACACACACNNNNNNNNNNNNNNNNNNNNNNNNNNNNNNNNNNNNNNNNNNNNNNNNNNNNNNNNNNNNNNNNNNNNNNNNNNNNNNNNNNNNNNNNNNNNNNNNNNNNCGGCCUGCUGCGGCCCCGCCGCCCCCGGUCCCGCAUGCCUCGCCGUGGUGCGCCGCCGCUGGCCGAUCCCGCCGCCACCGGAGCCAGAGCCCCCAGCCAUCGCCGUCGCGUUCCUGCCGCCGGCCGACUCGUGUCGGCCUUGCCUCCCCGCGCUAGACCGGAUCCCGACUGGGAUAGUGCUUCUGCAACCUGACUUUGUUUGCAAAAAUUCCUGAAACUCGACCGUUGUUGCAAAAAUUCUUCCGUAAAAAUACCUAUGUUACAGAUAGACGAAGAAAAAAAACUGCAACAAGCAAUUUGUUUCUGAAACUCGACCGUUGUUAAUUAACGGAUCCAAAGUUUAUUUCUUGCAACAAAGAAAAAAAUUCUGCAACUCGAGCGUCGUUUACGGAUAACUAUUGAUCAUGCGACGGGAUGCGGGCGCGUUAAAUCAAACGGCUGUUAGCUUGGACAUCCGACGGCUAGCUAGGUGACGGAUUAUUUUUAGAAAUUAUCCGACGGACGUGUAGCGUUCCCCUUUAUUUAUAUUCUAAAAAUUAAAUUAGAAAUCACGUAAAAAUCAACAAGCCGCGUCCAAGAAUCAAUAUAUAAAUAAUUCAAACCACUUUUUGUCGAAGGCAUCUAUAUCCACUUCACCACUGUAUAUGCCCCUUAUAUGACCGAUCAAAAAGUCACACAGCAGAGCUGCGGGGCCACCGUGCCGAGACGUGGGCGCUUGGUGCGCACGAAACGACCUGUAGGCGGCGGCCAUCCACCGGAAAAGAAGAUCCCAAUCCAUCAAACCGGACGCGUCAGGCCCACAGAAAAAGCGAAGCGGAUAGAGCUGAGCGACCCCCUCCCUAGCAGACUGCAGAGAGCCGAAGGCAGCGAGGAGGGAGAAGCAGCCGCGAGGUUGGUAGACCACGCCGCACGCCAACCCGGACCCCGCCGGCCGCGACCAGCAUUUCCCCUCGCCUAGCCGCCGGAGAGUACCUCCAGCCCCUGCUCCGUUGGACCAGGCGCUAGCAGGGCCGGGAUGGCGAGCGGGGCCGUCGCGCCGCCCCCGCCGCCGCUGGCCGGCGGGCGGCGCGGCUUCGGUGGCCGGGGAGUNNNNNNNNNNNNNNNNNNNNNNNNNNNNNNNNNNNNNNNNNNNNNNNNNNNNNNNNNNNNNNNNNNNNNNNNNNNNNNNNNNNNNNNNNNNNNNNNNNNNCCAGGUCCCGCUAUUGGAUAUUGACCGAGGAGUCUCUCGGGUCAUGUCUACAUAGUUCUCGAACCCGCAUGGUCUGCACACUUAAGGUUCGACGUUGUUUUAUGCGUAUUUGAGUUAUAUGGUUGGUUACCGAAUGUUGUUCAGAGUCCCGGAUGAGAUCACGGACGUCACGAGGGUUUCCAGAAUGGUCCAGAAACGAAGAUUGAUAUAUAGGAUGGCCUCAUUUGAUUACCGGAAGCUUUUCGGAGUUACCGGGAAUGUACUGGGAAUGACGAAUGGGUUCCGGGAGUUCACCGGGGGGGGCAACCCACCUCGGGGAAGCCCAUAGGCCUUGGGGGUGGCGCACCAGCCCUUAGUGGGCUGGUGGGACAGCCCAAGAAGGCCCUAUGCGCCAUAGGAAGAAAAUCAAAGAGAAAAAAAGGAGGAGGUGGGAAAGGGAAGAAGGACUCCACCUUCCAAACCAAGUUGGAUUCGGUUUGGAAGGGGAGACCUUCCCCCCUUUGGCUCGGCCGACCCCCUUGGGGCUCCUUGAGCCCCAAGGCAAGGCCCCCCUCUCGCACCUAUAUAUAGGGAGGUUUUAGGGCUGAUUUGAGACGACUUUUCCACGGCAUCCCGACCACAUACCUCCACGGUUUUUCCUCUAGAUCGCGUUUCUGCGGAGCUCGGGCGGAGCCCUGCUGAGACAAGAUCAUCACCAACCUCCGGAGCGCCGUCACGCUUCCGGAGAACUCUUCUACCUCUCCGUCUCUCUUGCUGGAUCAAGAAGGCCGAGAUCAUCGUCGAGCUAUACGUGUGCUGAACGCGGAGGUGCCGUCCGUUCGGCACUAGAUCGUGGGACUGAUCGCGGGAUGGUUCGCGGGGCGGAUCAAGGGACGUGAGGAUGUUCCACUACAUCAACCGCGUUCACUAACGCUUCUGCUGUACGGUCUACAAGGGUACGUAGAUCACACAUCCCCUCUCGUAGAUGGACAUCACCAUGAUAGGUCUUCGUGCGCGUNNNNNNNNNNGUACGUGUGCUGAACGCGGAGGUGCCGUCCGUUCGGUACUAGAUCGUGGGACUGAUCGCGGGAUUGUUCGCGAGGCAGAUCGAGGGACGUGAGGACGUUCCACUACAUCAACCGCUUCACUAACGCUUCUGCUGUACGGUCUACAAGGGUACGUAGAUCACUCAUCCCCUCUCGUAGAUGGACAUCACCAUGAUAGGUCUUCGUGCGCGUAGGAAAUUUUUUGUUUCCCAUGCGACGUUCCCCAACACUGCUGUUAUCUGAAAACAGAACCAGUGCCUUGGACAUCCGGCCUCCUCCGGACGUCCGAGGGCCGAACGACCGACAGCUUCGGAAAUCCGGAAUCCUAUACCAAAGAAAUCAGAGCCAUAUAACUCGGACUUCCGGCCUCCUCCGGACGUCCGAGGCCGGAUAGCCGACCAAGUCCCGGAAAUCCGGAAGCCUGCACCAGUAGAAGUUGAGUUCUAUAUCUCGCAAAUCCGGCUCCCUCCGGACGACCGAGCGCCGGACGUCCGAUACCUGUCGGAAAUCCGGAACCUACCACCACUAGAAGUUGAGCUGUAUAACACGGACUUCCGGGCCACUCCGGACGUCCGUAUGCUAAUGAAUUCAAAUAUGUUCAGGNNNNNNNNNNNNNNNNNNNNNNNNNNNNNNNNNNNNNNNNNNNNNNNNNNNNNNNNNNNNNNNNNNNNNNNNNNNNNNNNNNNNNNNNNNNNNNNNNNNNUUGGUAUCAGAGCUAGGUCUCUCUUUAAUUAGGUUUCACGACCUAGAGAGUAUCGAUGUCGACUAUUGGAUUAGUGCACAAUGGCAUCUUUGACUUUGAUGGCACAAAUUAUACCCUAUGGAGAAUUCGUAUGCUUCAUCACUUUCGGGCCAUGGGCCCAAAUACUUUACGAAUUGUUCUUGUAGGGAUUGCCGACAAAAAGGACGAUGCAUCUUCAUCUACUAAUGAAAUGUAUCUUGAUUGUGAGGCCUUUCUUUCCAUUCAUCGAACCAUAAGUCCUGAAGUGUUUAAGUCUAUCUCGACUUGCAAGUCAGCUCAUGAAGUUUGGACUAAACUUGAAGAUAUAUAUGGUGGGUCCAAUCUUGAUGAAGACGGUAUUAUGAUGAAGGAGUUGGUGCAUGAACUCUUCACUCUUUUCGAUCUUAAAGAGUCCACCACUACUUCCAUAUCCGAUUGCUUGCACACCUCAGCAUCUUCAAUCUCACAAGGUAAUGACAUGGUGAGUGAAGAAAUAUAUGUUGAUGAAAAUGUCAUAGCCUCUAUGGACACGAGCAUAUCUAGCACCACGCAUAGUGUAAAUUAUUGUGCUGAUAGGUCAUGCAUUUCACCUAAAGAUUCCUUGACAAAUGUCUGUGGUGAUAUGCCUGCUUCCUCAUGUCCUCUUGAUCAAAAUAUCUUGUUUCUCCCUAGUUGCUCUAUGACUAAUCAUUUAGGGGAAAUCAAGAAAUAUGAAGUACCUUUGACUAAUGAAGAAUCUGAUUCACCAAAAGAAUCAUCAUCAACUCCUCCAGUUCACAUGUGCCUCAUGGCAAGAGGUAAUAAUGAGGUAUCAUCUUCCCUGUGCAAUAACGAUAUAUUUGCGAUGAGGAUGAUGAUGAUGAUGACUUGACUGAAAAUAUCUAUGUGAUCAGUAAAAUUCUUCAUAAAGCUAAAAAUAACGCUCUUCAAAGAUUCCAAGAUGUUCUUGCUUACUUUGAAAAUUGUAAUGAUUCACUUAUUCAAGAACAAGCUAAAAGUGAACAACUUGAACAUGAACUUGAGAAGAGUCAUCAAGCAUGUAGAGACUUAAGAUCUUCAAAAGGAGAGAUUGAAGUUGCUCAUGAUAAACUUAAAAGGGAUUUUGAGGUCCUUCUCCUUGAAUGCAAUAAUGUCAAGGGAGAGCUCAUCAAAACCUCUAACAUCUAUGAGGAGCUUCAAUCUACUCAUGAGAAGUCUCUAUUUGCUACUUACUCCUCUCAUAUUGUUGAUGAUACUUGUACAUCUAACUCUACCUCUUUUGAAGUAUCAACAUUGAAGGAGAAUGUUGAGCUACGUGCUCAACUUGAUUUACUAACUAGCAAUUAUGGGAAGUUGGAAGAAAACCAUGUAAUGCUUACAAGCUCUCAUGCCGAUCUUCUAACAUCCCAUAAUGUGCAAAAGUUAGCUCAUGAGGCUAUCAUCACCAAGGUAACAUCAAGCGAGCCUCAUGUGGACAAUGGCACUACUUCUAGUCAAAGUACUAUAUUUCCAUGUGCUAGUCCUCGUAAUUCGUCUACUCAUAAUGUUGCUACCUCAUGUGAUGAAUUACUUUCCUUGCCUUGUUGCUCUAACAUUGAAGCCUACACUUCCUCUAGUACUUGCAUUGAUACUAACCGUGCAGAGGAAAUCAAAGAUCUCAAGGCCCAAGUCACUUCUUUGAAGAAAGACUUGGAACAGUGUCAUGAAGGGAUGCCCACACUCAACAACGUCCUGUGUGAGCAAACAUCUCCGAAUGACAAAAAUGAGUUUGAAGUAAACUCAAACAAGAACAAGAGGGGCCUAGAACAAGUCAAGAAUUCGGCCAAAAUCAUUUGCUUCAAGUGCAAAGUUAAAGGGCACCAUGUUAGAUCUUGCCCUCUGAAGACGAAGUCUCAAAGUCACAAGCAACAAGGGAAGCGGCCACAAACUCAAUCACAUAUUCAACUACAAGUUGAAGGAAGGCCUCUUCCCAAUAAGACCCAAGCCAACACUCCCCAAGGUGAGAAAUCAGCUGGGAAGAAAACAAAGGGUAGAUGUUGCUACUUAUGUCGUGAGAAGGGUCACGUCGCUUCGUCUUGCACGAAAGGUAACUUAUCCAACCCAAUCACUAUUGAUGAUACAUAUUCCCUUGGGAAGGAUAAGGUUGGCAAUGUGUUUGCCAAGUUUGUUGGUACUCAACAUGGUGUCAAGAAAAGAACCAUUUGGGUUGCCAAGCCUAUUGUGAUUGACCUCUUAGGACCCAACGUAGUUGGGGACCAACAAGCUCAAACUUGAUCAAUAGGUGACUAUGGAGGACAUUAGAGACUUGGAUACAUAAUGAAGAAUUAAGGGGUCUUCACCACUCAUAUUAUCUCAAGCCAAGUCAUUUGGAUUAUCGAGUUUCUAUCUUAUAUCCAAUGUGCCUCCUUAUGGUAACUUAUACUUAAAUUGUUUACAUUAUUACGUGCUUGCCCCCUUUGCAUGUUGUGGUUUUGUACCUUGCAUGCGUUUGUAUAUGAUGUGCUUCCAACUUGCUUAUCUUGAGUAAUCAAGUAUGUGUAUGUUGGUUUGCACAUCAUGUACAUGUGAGUCUUGUAUUGAGCCUAUUUGCAUCUUGUCUGUAUUUUUGUUGGCUCUUGUGAGAGAUUAAUGGAUUAUCCCAUUGUGGGGGAGUGAUGUGCUUUGCACACCUCACAAUCCUAUAAAUGUGUAUACAUGGGGAAUACCACUUAGUUUUGAUGCUUCAAGAUUAUCUAGUGUCUAUGUGGUAUGUCUUACUCAUGAGAAAUUCAAAUUCUAUAUGGUCCAUUAGGUAUCUCUCGUUGGUUUUAAUUUGCCACUUGUUAAUGUUAUUGGUUUAUCACAUUAUGGGGGAGUAAUAUGCUAUGUGCAUAUUACAAACCUAGAAAAUGUGUACAUUUGACGUAUUGCCACCUAGUGUUGAUAUUGUAAAUUAUCUUGUUCCUAGGUGGCAUGUUAGCUCUACAAGUGUCAUUUGCUUGCGUUUUAUGGGUAAAGAUGAUCUUGGAUAUAUUUGUGAUCUACCAAUGAGUAUCAUUUCAAAAAUACUUCUUGUCCUUGACAAUUGGUAUUCCCAUCAUAUGAUUGGAAUUAAUAAUCAUCUUUACAUUGGAUUUUGUGUUUCGUUUGUCUUUCUUGCCUCUUAUGAAUCUAUUUUUAACAUGUCUAGUGUGGUUAUAGAUAUAGAGAAAGUGAUGAUCCCAUCGUGCGCGUUUUGUAUUCAAAUGCAAAUUCUAUAUAAUGCACGUCCCUUGGGGGAGCUAUCCUAUUCCCUUUAAAAACACUCUCUUUAUUCACCCAUCAUAAAAUCAUUUGAUCCCCAUCAAGUGUGUGUUGAUGGGAGGCAAGUCUUGCUCUUUAUGAUGCUUUGUGCCAUCAUGAAAAUUUGUAGAGGGCUUUGUUUGUUGGAACCUAGCUCUCUCUUAGAAACUAGAUACCUCAUGUUUGUUUUCCUUUAAUUGGUUUCUUGUUGCCUUCUAUUUGGCAUGUGUCAAUGGAUAUCUCAUUGCUUGAUGUAUCUUUUAAUUGAUAUCUUUCAAGUGAUAGUUCUUUUGUUUUAGGAUCUUAUUAUCACUUGAUAUCUUGUCUUUUGAUGACUUAUCAACUUUGUGUUGAGUUGAUUCUUGAGAGUCUUGAGCAUGCAUAUCUAGCUACUAUAUACAACUUCUUUUGCGUGCUUUCCUCCUUUGACCCAAUACAUAAGGGAAACUCCACCCUGUCAUAAAUUGGCUAAGGUGUGCAUGAAAUUCAAAUUCAUAUCUAUAUGCACAUAUGUGUGUGGAGUUUGUCCUAUGUGUUGCUGGUUUUCUAACUCCUUGGUCCCAAUGAGUUUGGGCACCUUUUUGUUUGUUUUUGUUGUUCCAGGAACAACUGGAGAUGCAUUGGAUGCUCGGCUCACCUAUAAGGAAGAUGUUGAGACCAUGUGAUUAUUGGAGCCAAGUUAGGAUGAUCAAAGAACAACUAUCUACUACAUCAAUCCAAUGUUGUCUCGGUAACAAGUAUCCACUUCAUGCAUUCUUUUCUUGCAAAGGACCCAACCUGUCUUUUCUUUUCCAGGUUGCAUCAUGGCAUGAAUCUCUUGAUUUGUUCUCAUAGUACUUGUUUGCUUUCUCAAAGCAUCCGAACGAUGAUGUCUUACUGCUAGUUGGGAUGUCUUUGAUGUUCGUAUGUUGGAAGUUCAUAUUAUACAAUAAGAAAAUAUUAGGCCAUGUGCUAUGCUUCCAAGCAAAAGAUCUCAUUGAUAUAUUUAUGACUUCCCUUUUUGGAUAUCUAGUGUUCUUCCUUCUUGUAACCAUUUCGUGUGUACAUCCUUCUUUGUGGAUAUAUAUAUCAUCAUGAUUGUCUUCUACUUAGAAUCUUGGUCACAUGAGAUAAGUUACAUCUCUAAUUGAUAUCCUCUUUUCUUUCACGUCCACCGCUGCAUUUCCUUUUUCGGUUUUGGUGGCAACGUGAAAGGAUUGGUUUUGAGUGUGUAUCUUAUUUUCCUACAUCUUGGUGCACUCUUUGGCCGUGAAGAUUAUUUUUCCUCAUGCUUGUCUUGAUGAGGGUUUUGCCAUUUUCAAUUAGUACCCCUCCUCUUGACAAGAUUCUUACUUCCUAUCUUCACGAUGGGUUGUCACAAGCGUUGGUUCUUAUUUUGGUUAUUAGUAAGCUUGUGAACCCAUUUUCUAGUAUGUGUGUGUGGGAAUGAUAUGUCUUGCACUUUGUAUCUCAUAUUCAUCAAGACUAUGGUGAUGAGCAAUGCUCAUCCUUAUCUUAAGUCUUCUCAAGUGCUUUGCCAUGACUCACACACAUUACUUUGGUUGAGCUUAUUCUUAAGUUGCUUCCUUUACAUGUUGCUCAACCAUUAGUUUUGUGCAAUUGAUAUGCCUAUUGUCUCAUCUAUCUUCUUGCACUCGUUGUGUGUGUCUAUUAAUUCUGGGGGAGCAACGAUCCUAUUUUGUACACCUGUGUCAAAUACAAAAUCUUAUAUUAGUGCACAAAUCAUGGGGAGCUUCUCUAGUUUUUGAUAAAGCACCAUGUUGCCUUUAUCAUAAUAUCUGUUAUUUAUGUGGUUCGAAGGACCAUAUAAUUGUUUGUUCCAUCUGGAAUCUUUUGAUUGCUUGCUUCUAUCUCUGUAUGUCUUUGUGGCAUACGAUCCUUUUAUUUGCAAUCUUUGGGUCCUCAAUAUAGUUUGUUUUCCUCCAACUACGUAUCAUUGUAUUUGUGUAUUUUUCUGCACUCAUUUGCUGAGAAGUACACACUUUUUUUUGGAGGACCACCUACUAUAUUGGCUUUCUAAACUUUUCGUCCAUUUUGGCAAUCGAUGCCAAUGGGGGAGAAGUUUAGAGAGUUUACUUUGGAUAUGUUUAGAGGGCUUUGCUUUUAUUGCGUAAGCAUUUACAUCUUGCACACAUGCAUUAUUACCUUGUAUGUGUGCGCUUGGUUAUGCUUAUCUCCUUAUAUAAACUCUCUUGAAGUGGUUGUUUUCAAUUACCAAAAUGGGGGAGAUUGUUAGAGCAUAUAUCUCCAUAUGUGGUUUUGGUAAUUGAUGACAACUCCUAUGGACUAAUGGUUGCCUUAAGUUAUAUUUAUAGGAUUUGUCCAUAGGCACUUCUUGAAGUCCAUCUGUUGGGUUCAAGGAGUUUAUAUGAUGACCAAGAUGUUAUUCAAAGUAUUAUCCAAAGAAUGGUCAUAGAAACACUAGGUUGAUCAAGAUCUCAGACAAAGAGUAAAUCAAGAUGAUCAACACACAAAGCGUACAAGAUGUACCGAGAGGGAUCAAGUGAUCCCAUGGUAUGGUAAGCAUUGUCCAUUACAUGUUUGUGUACUAACCCAUGGUCUUUGUGAGACUCCUAUGUGGGGGUUAGGUGUGCUUCUAUUGGGCUUGCGUCAAAAGGAAGAUCUCAUACAACCCAUGAAGGAUGAUGCCAAGUGGUGAUCGUCAUCAAGAUUGUGGUGUGCAAGUUCAAGCGGAUCAGCACGAAUAUAUCAUUGAAACUAUUGUCAAUGAUCAUGUGCUGACAAGGACAACCUCAUGUGCGAACAAGGACAAGAUCAAGAUAAGCAUUCCUGAGCACUACAUGCUUGAUUCUUGUGGAUGUUCACAUGGUGGACAGGACAAGAUCAAGAUAAGCAUCCUUGAGAACUUCAUGCUUGAUUCUUGUGGAUGUUCACAUGGUGGACAAAUGAAGAUGAAUACAUAAGCUAGGCUUUCCGCAUUGUGUAUGGGAAAGCUACUUGAAGACUUCAUCAUGUCUUGCUUUCAACUCGAGCCAAGAAGGAACAACAACAUCAAGCUCACGUGAAAGGGCUAACUCAAAGGUAUCAGUUCCUUUGACGUUAGUUGUGCGGAGUGAUGAUCAGCGAAUAAAAGUAUACACUCAAGUAUGGAUCAUCAGUACUCUUUUAUGAUUCUUGAGUCCUUAGGGAUCCCGCACUACUAAGAGGGGAUCACAGGUUUUGCGAUGAACUUGCUCAAACUACAUCAUCACUUUCUGUUCAGACCACAUCUCCACUGCUCUGCUGUUAUCUGAAAACAGAACCAGUGCCUCGGACAUCCGGCCUCCUCCGGACGUCCGUGGGCCGGACGACCGACAGCUUCGGAAAUCCGGAAUCCUAUACCAGAGAAAUCAGAGCCAUAUAACUCGGACUUCCGGCCUCCUCCGGACGUCCGAGGGCCGGAUAGCCGACCAAGUCCCGAAAAUCCGGAAGCCUGCACCAGUAGAAGUUGAGUUCUAUAUCUCGGAAAUCCGGCUCCCUCCGGACGAUCGAGCGCCGGACGUCCGACACCCGUCGGAAAUCCGGAACCUACCACCAGUAGAAGUUGAGCUGUAUAACACGGACUUUCGGGCCACUCCGGACGUCCGUAUGCUAAUGAAUUCAAAUAUGUUCAGGNNNNNNNNNNGAUCCAAUAUGGGCAUCCAGGUCCCGCUAUUGGAUAUUGACCGAGGAGUCUCUCGGGUCAUGUCUACAUAGUUCUCGAACCCGCAUGGUCUGCACACUUAAGGUUCGACGUUGUUUUAUGCGUAUUUGAGUUAUAUGGUUGGUUACCGAAUGUUGUUCAGAGUCCCGGAUGAGAUCACGGACGUCACGAGGGUUUCCAGAAUGGUCCAGAAACGAAGAUUGAUAUAUAGGAUGGCCUCAUUUGAUUACCGGAAGCUUUUCGGAGUUACCGGGAAUGUACUGGGAAUGACGAAUGGGUUCCGGGAGUUCACCGGGGGGGGCAACCCACCUCGGGGAAGCCCAUAGGCCUUGGGGGUGGCGCACCAGCCCUUAGUGGGCUGGUGGGACAGCCCAAGAAGGCCCUAUGCGCCAUAGGAAGAAAAUCAAAGAGAAAAAAAGGAGGAGGUGGGAAAGGGAAGAAGGACUCCACCUUCCAAACCAAGUUGGAUUCGGUUUGGAAGGGGAGACCUUCCCCCCUUUGGCUCGGCCGACCCCCUUGGGGCUCCUUGAGCCCCAAGGCAAGGCCCCCCUCUCGCACCUAUAUAUAGGGAGGUUUUAGGGCUGAUUUGAGACGACUUUUCCACGGCAUCCCGACCACAUACCUCCACGGUUUUUCCUCUAGAUCGCGUUUCUGCGGAGCUCGGGCGGAGCCCUGCUGAGACAAGAUCAUCACCAACCUCCGGAGCGCCGUCACGCUUCCGGAGAACUCUUCUACCUCUCCGUCUCUCUUGCUGGAUCAAGAAGGCCGAGAUCAUCGUCGAGCUGUACGUGUGCUGAACGCGGAGGUGCCGUCCGUUCGGUACUAGAUCGUGGGACUGAUCGCGGGAUUGUUCGCGAGGCAGAUCGAGGGACGUGAGGACGUUCCACUACAUCAACCGCUUCACUAACGCUUCUGCUGUACGGUCUACAAGGGUACGUAGAUCACUCAUCCCCUCUCGUAGAUGGACAUCACCAUGAUAGGUCUUCGUGCGCGUAGGAAAUUUUUUGUUUCCCAUGCGACGUUCCCCAACACUGCUGUUAUCUGAAAACAGAACCAGUGCCUUGGACAUCCGGCCUCCUCCGGACGUCCGAGGGCCGAACGACCGACAGCUUCGGAAAUCCGGAAUCCUAUACCAAAGAAAUCAGAGCCAUAUAACUCGGACUUCCGGCCUCCUCCGGACGUCCNNNNNNNNNNNNNNNNNNNNNNNNNNNNNNNNNNNNNNNNNNNNNNNNNNNNNNNNNNNNNNNNNNNNNNNNNNNNNNNNNNNNNNNNNNNNNNNNNNNNNNNNNNNNNNNNNNNNNNNNNNNNNNNNNNNNNNNNNNNNNNNNNNNNNNNNNNNNNNNNNNNNNCAAAUCCGGCUCCCUCCGGACGACCGAGCGCCGGACGUCCGAUACCUGUCGGAAAUCCGGAACCUACCACCACUAGAAGUUGAGCUGUAUAACACGGACUUCCGGGCCACUCCGGACGUCCGUAUGCUAAUGAAUUCAAAUAUGUUCAGGCACAUCUGCAGGCCUCGGACGACCGACCCCUAUCGGACGUCCGGCCGCUGAUGAAUUCAGAAGAGUUCCAGUCAUGCCUAAAAGUCUCUGACGUCCGACCCCGGUCGGACGUCCGGCCCCUCACGGAAGCCCGGACUUCCGACAACUGUCGGACGUCCGGACCCUGUGUGACUUAAAGUGUCCCCAACGGCUCUUUUUCUCUCCACACUAUAAAUACCCCCUCCCACUUCGUGAGAGGGUUGCCCAACACAGCCUUAUCCUCAUAAGAACACAUUUCCACCUCACACACANNNNNNNNNNNNNNNNNNNNNNNNNNNNNNNNNNNNNNNNNNNNNNNNNNNNNNNNNNNNNNNNNNNNNNNNNNNNNNNNNNNNNNNNNNNNNNNNNNNNUUGUUUUAUGCGUAUUUGAGUUAUAUGGUUGGUUACCGAAUGUUGUUCGGAGUCCCGGAUGAGAUCACGAAUGUCACGAGGGUUUCCGGAAUGGUCCGGAAAUGAAGAUUGAUAUAUAGGAUGACCUCAUUUGAUUACCGGAAGGUUUUCGGAGUUACCGGGAAUGUACCGGGAAUGACGAAUGGGUUCCGGGAGUUCACCGGGGGGGGCAACCCACCCUGGGGAAGCCCAUAGGCCUUGAGGGUGGCACACCAGCCCUUAGUGGGCUGGUGGGACAGCCCAAGAGGGCCCUAUGCGCCUAGAGAAGAAAAUCAAGGAGAAAAAAAAAGAGGAGGUGGGAAGGGAAGGAAGGACUCCCUCCCACCAAACCAAGUCCAACUCGGUUUGGGGGGGGAACCUUCCCCCUUGGACUCGGCCGACCACCUUGGGGCUCCUUGAGCCCCAAGGCAAGGUCCCCUCCCUCCCACCUAUAUAUACGGAGGUUUUAGGGCUGAUUUGAGACGACUUUUCCACGGCAGCCCGACCNNNNNNNNNNNNNNNNNNNNNNNNNNNNNNNNNNNNNNNNNNNNNNNNNNNNNNNNNNNNNNNNNNNNNNNNNNNNNNNNNNNNNNNNNNNNNNNNNNNNAUGUCCCCAACGGCUCUUUUUCUCUCCACACUAUAAAUACCCCCCUCCCACUUCGUGAGAGGGUUACCCAACACAGCCUUAUCCUCAUAAGAACACAUUUCCACCUCACACACAUUUGCUCACUCCAAAUCUUAGAUCCCAAGAGCAUUUGUGAGCCCCUUUGAGAGUUGUUCCAAUCAAAAGAUAGAUCUUCUCCCUCUCCUUCUCUCAACCCAAGCUAUUUGUGAUUUGAGCAAGUUUUGAGCAUUCCUCAUUGAAAAGGAUUGAGAUGGACCUAGAGGGGGGGUGAAUAGGUACAAAUCCAAAUUUUAACAAUUACUUAGCAAUUUUAGGCUAGAGUGCGGAAUAUAAGUGUAAGCCUAAUAAUUGCUAUGACAAAGAGUAAGCUAUUAGGAGUGAAGCAAGGCAAGUGGUAAACAAUAAGCAAAUACAAGUAUGUAAUAAGGAUUAACACAAGUAGAGAGUUAGGGUUAGGAAUAACCGAAACUCCGAGAGAGACAAGGAUGUAUCCCGAUGUUCACUUCCUUGGAGGGAAGCUACGUCACCGUUAGAGGGGCGGAUGUUACCACGAAGGCACACCAAAGCCACGAAGGCUCACCCUAUUCUCCCUUUGAGAUAACUCCACGAAGGCGUUUCUCAACCACUAGUGGUAAGCCUUUGAGGUGGCUUCCAAACCCUCACAAACUUUUCCGGGGGAAAUCACACGGAUUGAUUCCUCUCCGAAGAACUCCUACCGCCUANNNNNNNNNNGAGGUGGCUUCCAAACCUUCACAAACUUUUUGGGGGAUAUCACAAUGGUUUGAUUCCUCUCCGAAGACUCCUACCGCCUAAGAGUCUCCAACCUCCAAGAGUAACAAGAUCACGGGUGAAAGUGCAUGCUAUGCCCCUAAUUGUAUUUUGGUGUUAAUGACAACACAUACAUAGGAAACUAAUCCUAUUUGUUGAGUGUAUCUCAGGACGGCAAGUACUUUAGUAUAUUAAGAUUUAUGUGCCAAAGGUUGCCUGAAAAGAUUGGUGAGUUAUAUUUCGAGAAGACUCGGGAUUAAGAAGAGAUGUUGUAGAAUAGUCUUUUGAGUUUACUAAUAUUGAGUAUAGGGAUCCCGCACUAUUAAGAGGGGAUCACAGGCUUUGCGAUAAACUUGCUCAUACCACAUCUCUACAACCAUAUCAAACACCACAUACUGUCCACUCUCUAAAAUUCAACAUAUGUCAAAUCUCCUCGGACAUCCGGCUCCCUCCGGACGUCCGAGGGCCGGACGUCCGGCUGGCUUCGGAAAUCCGCAGCCAGACACCAGUAGUUUGUUAGGCUUAUAUCUCGGAAAUCCGGCUCCCUCCGGACAUCCGAGGGCCGGUCGUCCGGCCAAGCUCCAUAAAUCUGGAGGGCAACACCAGUAGUUUGUGUGCACUAUAUCUCGGAAAUCCGGCNNNNNNNNNNUGGACGUCCGGCUGGCUUCGGAAAUCCGCAGCCAGAUACCAGUAGUUUGUUAGGCUUAGAUCUCGGAAAUCCGGCUCCCUCCGGACGUCCGAGGGCCAGUCGUCCGGCCAAGCUCCGGAAAUCCGGAGGGCAACACCAGUAGUUUGUGUGCACUAUAUCUCGGAAAUCCGGCNNNNNNNNNNUUGCUCAAAACUUGCUCAAAUCACAAAUCACUUUGGUGGGAAGGAGGAGAGGGAGACGAUCUAUCUUUUGAUUGGAACAACACUCAAAAGGACUCACAAAUGCUCUUGGGAUCUAGGAUUUGGUGUAGACAAGAGUGAAUGAGAGGAAAGGUGUUCUUGGAUGUGUCUUAGCUGUGUUGAACACCCUUUCACGAGGUGGGAGAAGAGUAUUUAUAGUGUGGAGUGAAAUCCAGUCGUUGGAGGUGCAAUAAGUCACACAGGGUCCGGACGUCCGACACUUGUCGGAAGUCCGGUCGUCCGUGAGGGGCCGGACGUCCGACAGGGGUCGGACGUCCGAGACCUNNNNNNNNNNCUGUUGGAGGUGCAAUAAGUCACACAGGGUCUGGACGUCCGACACUUGUCGGAAGUCAGGGCGUCCGUGAGGGGCCGGACGUCCGACAGGGGUCGGACGUCCGAGACCUGUAGGCAUGCCUGGAACUCUUCUGAAUUCAUCAGCGGCCGGACGUCCGACAGGAGUCGGUCGUCCGAGGCAUGUAGAUAUUUGAAUUCAUCAGCAUACGGACGUCCGGAAUGGCCCGGAAGUCCGUGUUAUACAGCACAAUUUCUACUGGUGGUGGCUNNNNNNNNNNAGAACUCUUCUGAAUUCAUCAGCGGUCGGACGUCCGACAGGAGUCGGUCGUCCGAGGCCUGUAGAUAUGCCUCAACGUAUUUGAAUUCAUCAGCAUACGGACGUCCGGAGUGGCCCGGAAGUCCGUGUUAUACAGCACAAUUUCUACUGGUGGUGGCUUCCGGAUUUCCGAUGGGUGUCGGACAUCCGGCGCUCGGACGUCCGGAGUGUUGGAAAUAUGCCCUAGAGGCAAUAAUAAAUUAGUUAUUAUUAUAUUUCUUUGUUCAUGAUAAUCAUUUAUUAUCCAUGCUAUAAUUGUAUUGAUUGGAAACACAGUGCAUGUGUGGAUACAUAGACAAAACACUGUCGCUAGUAAGCCUCUAGUUGACUAGCUCGUUGAUCAAAGAUGGUCAAGGUUUCCUGACCAUAGGCAAGUGUUGUCACUUGAUAACGGGAUCACAUCAUUAGGAGAAUCAUGUGAUGGACUAGACCCAAACUAAUAGACGUAGCAUGUUGAUCGUGUCAUUUUGUUGCUACUGUUUUCUGCGUGUCAAGUAUUUAUUCCUAUGACCAUGAGAUCAUAUAACUCANNNNNNNNNNUGUGAUCUACGUACCCUUGUAGACCGUACAGCAGAAGCGUUAGUGAACGCGGUUGAUGUAGUGGAACAUCCUCACGUCCCUUGAUCCGCCCCGCGAACCAUCCCGCGAUCAGUCCCACGAUCUAGUGCCGAACGGACGGCACCUCCGCGUUCAGCACACGUAUAGCUCGACGAUGAUCUCGGCCUUCUUGAUCCAGCAAGAGAGACGGAGANNNNNNNNNNNNNNNNNNNNNNNNNNNNNNNNNNNNNNNNNNNNNNNNNNNNNNNNNNNNNNNNNNNNNNNNNNNNNNNNNNNNNNNNNNNNNNNNNNNNUUUGCUUAUUGUUUACCGCUUGCCUUGCUUCACUCCUAAUAGCUUACUCUUUGUCAUAGCAAUUAUUAGGCUUACACUUAUAUUCUGCACUUUAGCCUAAAAUUGCUAAGUAAUUGUUAAAAUUUGGAUUUGUACCUAUUCACCCCCCCUCUAGGUCCAUCUCGAUCCUUUUCAAUUGGUAUCAGAGCCUCGUGCUCUAUUUGUGUGGCUUAACCGCCCUAGAGCGAGAUGGACGUGGAUCCAGCUGCAGUAGCUCCAGUGCAGAGGGACGGGACUUCCGCGGAAGUCAAGUCUUUCACCUCUGAGGACCUGGAACGGGCCCUUGCCAAGCAAAAAGAGGAGCAUGAUGCUUCUCUUGAGUCCAUAAUUCAAAUGAUACUAGCAGCACUAACCACGGGGACAACCACGUCCUCGAGGGCCUCAGGGCCCCACGUGCACGGUACUUCAUUUGGCUAACCUCCUCCGGAGAGGAACCAAACCAGUGUUCCAUGGCUUUAUGCUAAGUCUCAAAUUGAGAAACCUAAGUAGGAGGAAAACCUCCCUUGCUUGAUGACAAUUCCGAUUUUGCUUUGUGGAGAGUUGGUAUGCAGGAUCAUCUUAGGUACGCCAAUGAUGAGAUGCUGGACAUCCUCGAGCAUGGGUACAAUCCUGUUGAUCCAAGAUGCCUCACGCCUAGAGAAACUUAUGACAAGCAUCUCAAUGACACUGCGAUCAUGUGCAUAAGAAAAGGAAUGAAUGAAAAGCAACGAAGACCUUACAUUCACAUCACAAGUGCCAAGGAAUUGUGGGACAACAUCAUAAGGACCAAGACCGGUACCUCCACUCUUCGGCUUGCCCAAUAUGAAAUUGCCAAGGGGCAAUUACAGAAUUUCUGUAUGGAAAAGGGUGAAUCUCCCAAGCAGCUACUAGAACGGCUCAUGACUCUCGCCGCAGACAUUGAGUCAUGUGACUGUGACAAGACGCAAGAUGGUUUCAAUCUGACCAAGAGAUUCCUUGUGGACAAGUUACUUCACGCUCUUGCUCCAUAUCACCAUCAAAUGGUAUGGGACAUGAAACAGCAUCAUGCUUUCAAAGAAAUGACUCCGGAUGACAUCAUAUCCACUUUCCAAUUAUUUGAAGAGUCAAAGGCAAAUGCAACAAAGCACCUAGCCAUGCAUGGCACUUCAACAUCAAAGAUCAAUCUUGCUUUGAAAGCCAAGCAUGAGUAUGACGAAGAAGAAGUGAAGAAGAAGAAGGUGAUGAUGACUGUCAAGAUGGUGAUGAUGUUGACUCUGAUGAAAGCCCAUCGUUUGAGGACAUUGCUCUCUUUGUGAAGAAGUUCAGUGCAGGGAAGUUCAAGGGAAGAUUUCCAAAGAAGAAGGUAAGGAAAUGCUAUAACUGUGAGGAAACCAACCACUUCUCCAACGACUGCCCUUAUGAGAAGAGAGAAGACAAACCAAGGUUUCCAAAGACCUUUGUAAAGAAGAAGUUACCAAACCCUAUGAACUCCAAGUCCAAGAAGACAGAUGGAAGAGCAAUGGUUGCACAAGAAGAAUCAGAUCCAGAAGAUGUUGGUGGAGUUGCCGGAGUAGCUCAAGAUACACAGAGUACCUUGAGGCUAGUCAACAAAAGUGGUGAUGUUGUUCACUACAACUAUAUGAAGGACUACAAGGGCAACGCUCACAAGUGUUUGAUGGCAAAGACUGCCAUGGGAGAUGGGGAAGACCAAAGCUCCCAUGAUAAGGUUAAGGUAACCCCACGGUUAAACUCUUUCAGUCUAGUUUCUACCCACUCUGAUGAGUAUCUUGAUGCGGAAGAUCAUUAUGAGGAUGAUGAUUUAGAUCAUCCCAUGUUUGCUAAAAUGAACAAAUUUAUGUGCUCUCUUAAAGGAAAGAAGCUCACUAUGUUUCGCAUACUUAUGGAAAUGGUGAGUAAGCACACCAAUACCAUCAAGGAACUCGAAACCCUCGUCACUGAGGAGAAGGAGAGAAAUGAACUCCUUGAGCAUAAAGUCCUUUACGAGGAAGCACAAAAUGAUGCAUUAUGUUCAAAAGUAGGUGAAAACCUUGAUAAACAUGCUAAUGAUCUUGCCUCCUUGAAAAAGGCUGAAAAUGUGUGCAGAGAAUUACUAAAUGAUAAAGACCGACUUGUGAACUCUCAUGCUUCUCUUUCUAAGGACUGUGAGCGUCUAUACUUGUCUCUCAAAGACAAGGAGGAGAAACUCACUGUUCUUACAAAGAGCUUUGAGGCACUUAAGGUCACUUAUCUUGACACUCUAGGUAAGGCCUACUCCUCACCUAUUAUCAAUGUUGAUACCUGCACUACUAAUCCUAGUAGUGAACUGACAUCUAUCCUUGAGGAAAACUGUACGUUAAGGGCACAGCUAGACAGAGGUCUCAUGACAUGUGCACAAGGACAAAAGACUCUCAAUGAGAUCUUAAGUCGACACAAUGGAGGUGUCGCCAAGAAAGGGCUUGGGUUCAACCCAAGCACUGCCAAGAAAAGUGCAUCUCCUCUGAAGUGUACCACUCCUAUUAAGGAAAUAUUUGUACCAGAGGGACACACGGAGAAAGGUAAGGUUGUGAGUGGAUCGGCCACUAGGGGUCCGUCUACUCACAACAAGACAACCGAAUUCAUGCCUCCAUCCUAUGUACUACGCAAAUCACAGGAAGGAGAAGUUUAUGCUAAAUUCGUUGGUCCCCGUAAUGCAUUUCGAUUCUAUGCCAUUUGGGUCCCUAAGACUCUUGUAACUAAUGUGAAAGGCCCCAUGACAAAAUGGGUACCUCAAACCAAGUCUUAAUUCGUUACAGGCUGUUUUCUCCGGUGGAGCAAAAUGGGUGAUCGACAGUGGAUUUACCAAUCAUAUGACCGGAGAUAGUAACUUGCUCUAUGACUUCAUGCAAGCCAUUCGACCAUACAUGAGCAUUGUAUUUGGUGAAGGGUCGAAAGGGCAGGUAAUUGGGUUGGGCAAGGUGGCAAUCACUAAUGACAUGUCUAUUGCAAAUGUCAUGCUUGUCCAAUCUCUUCAAUAUCAUUUACUUUCAGUUCGUCAAUUGGCUUCCGUCGGUUAUGACACACUAUUUGGACUAACGGAUGUGAAAGUCUUUAAGAGAGACACUCUUGAAGUGGCUUUCAUUGGAGAGUUGGAUGGCAACCUUUACACGGUUGAUUUCUCGAAAGAGAGAACUUUCCAUACAACUUGUCUAAUGGCCAAGGCCGACAUGGGAUGGCUGUGGCAUGGCCGGCUCGCCCAUGUUGGCAUGAAAAAUCUUGAAAAUCUCUUAAACGGUAAUCACAUCCUUGGACUAACAAAUGUGUCUUUUAAGAAAGAUCGUGUGUGCAGUGCAUGCAUAGCGGGGAAGCAACAUCAAUCAAGACAUCCACCCAAGAACGUUGUAUCCACUUCGAGGCCGUUAGAGCUCCUUCAUGUUGAUCUAUUUGGGCCUCCUUCAUGGGCAAGUCUUGGAGGGAAAAAGUAUGGCCUAGUCAUUGUUGAUGAUUACUCAAGAUAUACAUGGGUGUUCUUUCUCAAGUCCAAGGACGAGACGAAGGUCACUUUCAUUGACUUUGCCAAACAAGCCCAGCGGAAGUUUGACAAGGACAUCAAGGCAGUAAGAAGUGAUAAUGGCUCUGAGUUCAAGAACUACACCCUGGAAGAAUUUCUUAGUGAUGAGGGGAUUGAACAUCAGUACUCCGCACCUUACACCCCCCAACAAAAUGGUGUGGCAGAGAGAAAGAACCGGACACUUGUGGAAAUGGCAAGGUCCAUGUUAGAUGAAUACAAGUCACCACAUAGCUUUUGGGCUGAGGCCGUCAACACAACAUGUCAUGCAUCAAACCGACUCUUCCUCCGAUCAAUAUUGGAAAAAACUCCAUAUGAGCUCCUAACUGGGAACAAGCCCAAUGUUAAGUACUUUCGUGUGUUUGGAUGCAAAUGCUUCAUCCUCAACAAACGGGAACGGUUAGGGAAAUUUCAAUCCAAAACAACUGAAGGGAUUUUUGUUGGCUAUGGGUCAAACUCUCACGCCUACAGAGUCUACAACAAAUCCACUGGAUGUGUUAUAGAAACCUGUGACGUGACGUUUGAUGAAUUUAACCGCUCCCAUGGGGAGCAAUUUGAUCUAAAUGUUGCAGGUGAAGAAGACACCCCACAAGAUAUCUUAAACAUGGGUGUAGGUGCACUUCUGCCUAUGGAACAAAGACCCCAUGAUGAUGAUGAAGAUGAUGAGAACAUCUUGCAUCUUCAAGACAGUUCACUACCCGUACCCCCACAAGAUAUUAGCACACCCAUCAUGCCAGUUUUUGAGGAUCAAGUGGGAGAUGACACUCAAGAACAAGUUGAUCUUCAAGAGGUAGACCAAAGUAUGGGUAUGCUUGAUGAUGAACCUCAACAGGUGCAACGCGAAGAGGAAUAUCUUCCUCCGCACAUAAAUGAUCCAUAUGUUGAGGACAUUGAUGAUGGAAACGAAGUUGAACCUCGUGGAACCUUGACCUCCAUCAUGCCACGUGUGGCCGGUCGUGUUGAUAUUGAUCAAAUCCUCACAGGCGUAUCGGAAGGUAGAGUGACUCGCAAACAAUUAACAAACUUUUGUGCUCACUUUUCGUUUGUUUCUAGUACCGUGCCACACAGGGUUCAAGAUGCACUAUGUGACAAUGACUGGCUACUUGCUAUGCAAGAAGAGCUAAACAGUUUCACACGCAAUGAAGUAUGGUCAUUGGUAGAACGACCAACGGAGGAACAUAAUGUUAUUGGAACUAAAUGGAUUUUCAAGAACAAGGGAGAUGAGAACGAGACUGUUCUACGCAACAAGGCAAGGUUAGUAGCACAGGAGUACUCCCAAGUUGAAGGUUUGGACUUUGGUGAAACUUUCGCCCCUGUUGCUCGUCUUGAGUCCAUUCGCAUUUUAUUGGCCUAUGCUUCUUUCAAUGGUUUUACCUUGCAUCAAAUGGAUGUGAAAAGUGCUUUUCUUAACGGUCCUCUACAAGAAGAAGUAUAUGUAUCACAACCACCUGGGUUUGUUGACCCUCAUCACAAAGACCAUGUAUAUAAACUUCACAAGGCACUUUAUGGUCUUAAACAAGCACCCCGUGCUUGGUACGAUCAUCUUAAGAAGUUCCUACUCGAUGAUGGCUUUGUGGUGGGGGUGAUCGAUCCCACUCUUUUUACUAAGAGGGAAAAUGGUGAUUUGAUCUUAUGCCAAAUCUAUGUAGAUGACAUCAUUUUUGGUUCUCCUAACAUCCAUUUGUGCAAGAAGUUUGCGGCCUCCAUGACCAAGACCUUUGAGAUGUCACUCAACACGGACUUGAAGUUCUUUCUUGGUUUUCAAAUACAACAAUUUCAAGAAGGGAUUUUCUUAUCUCAAACAAAGUAUCUCAAGGACAUUCUUGAGAAAUUUGAUAUGACAAAUGGUAAACCAAUGAAGACACCCAUGGCCACCGAUGUAGUUCUAAAUGAAGACUCAAACGGUAUUCCUUUUGACCCAUCUACGUAUCGCUCCAUGAUUGGUUCGCUGCUUUACCUUUGCGCAUCUAGACCGGACAUCAUGUUAAGUGUAGGAAUAUGUGCUAGAUUUCAAGCUUCCCCUAUGGAAAGCCAUCACACGGCGGUUAAGCACAUUCUUAGAUACCUUGUUCACACCCCAAAGUUAGGCUUAUGGUACCCUAAGGAUGCAAAGUUUGAUCUUAUUGGGUAUUCUGAUGCGUAUUGGGCCGGUGAUAAAGUGGGACGGAAAUCCACUUCCGGUGCAUGUCAGUUUCUUGGACGCUCAUUGGUAAGUUGGUCCUCGAAGAAGCAGAACUGUGUUUCUCUCUCCACGGCCGAGGCCGAAUAUAUUGCAGCCGCAAGCUGUGCUACUCAAUUGCUAUGGAUGAGGCAAACACUGAAGGAUUAUGGUAUCAUGUAUCGACACGUUCCUCUUCUCUGUGAUAAUGGAAGUGCCAUAAAGAUCUCCGUAAACCCCAUUGAUCACCCUCUCACAAAACAUAUUGAUAUUAGGUAUCAUUUCUUGAGAGACCAUGUGCAAAAGGGUGACAUUGAUAUUACCCAUGUGGGUACCGACAUGCAGUUAGCCGACAUUUUCACCAAUCCACUUAGUGUAGCUAGGUUCUGUCAACUUAGGCGUGAACUUGGUAUCUUGGAGCUUGACAAUAUAUCUUGAAAUCUUUCACACAUACAUACACUCACAUUAUGGUUGUGUCUUGAUGUGCGCAUAUAUUUAGGGGGAGUGCAUAGUAAUUCUAUGUGUUUUUAAGCUUACAACGUAUGCACAGAUCAUUUCAUGCAUGUAAUGCUUCUAGGAAAACAGUGCUCAUAGUUUGUCUUAUAUAUAUACCAUGCAAGUCAUCAUCAUCAAAACACUCCCCUCCUCUAUCUCUCGGACGUCCGGCUCAUCUCGGACGUCCGGCGCCAGAACAUCCUCCGGACGUCCGACACCCCUCGGACGUCCGACCGCCAGACGUCUGACGCCUCUCGGACGUCCGACGCCUCGGGGCCCCUAUAUAAAGCUGGGCGCGGGGCUGGGCCUUUUGCCCUAAUCCCCAGUGCCCCAUUUUCCCCAGCCGCCGCCGCCUNNNNNNNNNNNNNNNNNNNNNNNNNNNNNNNNNNNNNNNNNNNNNNNNNNNNNNNNNNNNNNNNNNNNNNNNNNNNNNNNNNNNNNNNNNNNNNNNNNNNNNNNNNNNNNNNNNNNNNNNNNNNNNNNNNNNNNNNNNNNNNNNNNNNNNNNNNNNNNNNNNNNNNNNNNNNNNNNNNNNNNNNNNNNNNNNNNNNNNNNNNNNNNNNNNNNNNNNNNNNNNNNNNNNNNNNNNNNNNNNNNNNNNNNNNNNNNNNNNNNNNNNNNNNNNNNNNNNNNNNNNNNNNNNNNNNNNNNNNNNNNNNNNNNNNNNNNNNNNNNNNNNNNNNNNNNNNNNNNNNNNNNNNNNNNNNNNNNNNNNNNNNNNNNNNNNNNNNNNNNNNNNNNNNNNNNNNNNNNNNNNNNNNNNCUGGGAGCUGCUCGAGGAGCACCUCCCCAGCGCCGCCACCCACGAGAUCGAACCGAUCUCCUCCGCGGAUCUCCUACUCCUCUGUCCGUACUCUUCACGGGAUCCAUCUCAGGGCUCCAUGGGCAAGACCAAGCACACCGCUCGGAAGAUCGUGGCCGGCUCAUCCUCUCGCAUCCCUAUGAACACGGGGUCGGAAUCGGAUGAGCCACACCGUCCCUUCAAACGGGCUGCCCGGCGUUCUCCGCCCCGACGGUCUCUGUCUCCCUCGCCGUCUGAUGAUGUUGACCCCGACUUCGAGGAGGAGCUUCCCGCCGAGGAACUUCCUCAACCCGUCGCUCGAAGGUCCAAGCUCAUGUCUCACAGGGCGUCCUACAUGCCACAACCGCCUCCUGCCCAGCCUGAAGGUGAAGCUCGCCGCAUCUCCUUAGAGCCUCCUGCCACGUUAGGUCGUAAUAUCACAAACUUUACCACACUUGGGGCAGCUUCCUAUCUUACUUUCCGCCGCGACGUAAAUCAAUACGAGGUCGGCAGUGAUUCUACGGAUUCACGCUUUCGCACAAACGUCCAGGCGGACAUCUUUUCCAUCGUCAUAGUUCCUAAGGGCUUAUCUAAUCAUCUUUACAUUGAUAUUGAGCAUAUUCGCAAGCACCCGGCGAAAUAUCCGGGUGCCAUUGAGCUUAUUGAGUCUUCGGGGCUUGCCGCCCCGUUUGCUUUUCAUUGCGACUAUAAUGCUGCUGCCAUCCACCAAUUCUAUGCCACAUGUCACUUUGGCUCCGACAACACUGUCACCUGGAUGACCUCUGACGUUCGUUUCAAAGCCACUUAUGCUACUUUUGUUGCCGCUCUGGGUUUUCCCCAUUCCGGUUAUAAAAUACAUAAGGAUGAUCCUAACCAUGCGCCUAAGACUAUUGAUGUGUGUGGACAGCUCCUCAAACCACUACGUGAGCUUGAUGAGGAUGAGCACCAGAAGGACCUUAACCAGGUAUCCAUCUGGCGCUCACCUUACUUCAUUACCUUUCAGUGUGUCAUCCGUACCAUCUAUCCCAAGAUGGGUGAUAAGGGUUCUUGCAGUGGCUAUUGUAUCGACAUCAUGUACCACUUGUUCGAGAACCGCAAGACCAAAAUCAAUGUGCCCCAUUUCCUAUGGCAUGAGAUUUGGCUUGCUAGCUUUCAGUACAAGCGAGCCUUUCCUCAUGCUCCUUUCAUCCAGGCACUUAUUAACCACGUUGUUGAUUUCUCUGUGGCUACCACUCACAUCCAUCGCAAGUGGUCCAUUCCCGCUCACAUGGCAAAUGAUUUUGCUCCCAAGCACGCCCCUUCUUCCUCUACUACCACUCGCCGCACUGCUGCACGGGCCGCCACCCCUUCAUCUAGCUCCGCUCCUCUCGGUCGCAUUGCCAAAUUCCUUGGGAAAGCUCACUCUGCUUUGAUGAAGGUUGUCUCCUUUCAGUGUGGUCAAACCCAUGAUGUGGUUUCCCGCUUAGUUUCCUCUCAGAAUGCCCUCAAGGCUCGUCUGAGAGCCUCGGGCGAUCUUACUGUGAGUGAUGAUGAGGCCCCUCCUGCUGUUCCUUCCAUUGACUUUGGCUUCCCUUCUGGUCCUGAGUGGUCUGAGUUCUUUGACGAGGCUGGGGGCAGUGGUUUGGCUGAUGAUGCUGAUGAUGAUGGUGAUGAGCUCUGAGUAUGGUUGGUGUUAUUGAUGGCUCCCUUUUUGGUACUUGGUGCCAAAGGGGGAGUAAUGUAUCGUAGUUAAAAAUUUUAUUCUCGUCAUUUUUAGUCUUUGGAGAUUUGAUGUAAUGGAUAAAACUCAUGUAUGGCUACUUAUGAAUGGUCGUGAUUUGUUAUGAUAUCAUCAUAGACUAUUAUGUCUUGCUCCUUUAUUUCUAUGAUGAUCUAUUAUUCUUCCAUGUCGAUCCAUUUGGAGCUUCGAUUUCUUUAUCAUGCAUAUCCUAAGGGGGAGCUCCGUACUAAAUAUCUCCUAGACUAUAAUGUAUGGUUAAUAUUUUUGAGACCUAUGUAUAUGUUGUCAUCAACUACCAAAAAGGGGGAGAUUGAAAGUGCAUGCUAUGCCCCUAAUUGUCUUUUGGUGUUAAUGACAACACAUACAUAGGAAACUAAUCCUAUUUGUUGAGUGUAUCUCAGGACGGCAAGUACUUUAGUAGAUUAAGAUUUAUGUGCCAAAGGUUGCCUGAAAAGAUUGGUGAGUUAUAUUUCGAGAAGACUCGGGAUUAAGAAGAGAUGCUGUAGAAUAGUCUUUUGNNNNNNNNNNNNNNNNNNNNNNNNNNNNNNNNNNNNNNNNNNNNNNNNNNNNNNNNNNNNNNNNNNNNNNNNNNNNNNNNNNNNNNNNNNNNNNNNNNNNNNNNNNNNNNNNNNNNNNNNNNNNNNNNNNNNNNNNNNNNNNNNNNNNNNNNNNNNNNNNNNNNNNNNNNNNNNNNNNNNNNNNNNNNNNNNNNNNNNNNNNNNNNNNNNNNNNNNNNNNNNNNNNNNNNNNNNNNNNNNNNNNNNNNNNNNNNNNNNNNNNNNNNNNNNNNNNNNNNNNNNNNNNNNNNNNNNNNNNNNNNNNNNNNNNNNNNNNNNNNNNNNNNNNNNNNNNNNNNNNNNNNNNNNNNNNNNNNNNNNNNNNNNNNNNNNNNNNNNNNNNNNNNNNNNNNNNNNNNNNNNNNNNNNNNNNNNNNNNNNNNNNNNNNNNNNNNNNNNNNNNNNNNNNNNNNNNNNNNNNNNNNNNNNNNNNNNNNNNNNNNNNNNNNNNNNNNNNNNNNNNNNNNNNNNNNNNNNNNNNNNNNNNNNNNNNNNNNNNNNNNNNNNNNNNNNNNNNNNNNNNNNNNNNNNNNNNNNNNNNNNNNNNNNNNNNNNNNNNNNNNNNNNNNNNNNNNNNNNNNNNNNNNNNNNNNNNNNNNNNNNNNNNNNNNNNNNNNNNNNNNNNNNNNNNNNNNNNNNNNNNNNNNNNNNNNNNNNNNNNNNNNNNNNNNNNNNNNNNNNNNNNNNNNNNNNNNNNNNNNNNNNNNNNNNNNNNNNNNNNNNNNNNNNNNNNNNNNNNNNNNNNNNNNNNNNNNNNNNNNNNNNNNGAUAUAUGCUCUAACAACCGGCCCUCAGCACCUCCUAGGGUUUCCUACCACCCUACGGUUUCCUCCCACCAACCCUAGGCACAUGGGACCUUAGGAGGGGCAGUGUCGAGCCCAUCAAGGGCCGGUGUGCCCCCUUUAUCAGCCACUUAGGCCCUCCGUGGCAGUUGGACGUCCCUCGUAGACCCUUGGAACCCCUUCCGGCACUCUCGACAAAAAUGGUAAAACACGAAACUAUUACGAAACCCGAAUACUAGCUUCCCAUACAGAAAUAUUUACCUCCCGACCAUUCCAGAGCUCCUCAUCACGUCGGGGAUCUCAUCCGGGACUCCGAACAACAUUCAAUCACCAGCAUACAUACCCCCUAUAUAUAUCAUCAUCAAACGUUAAGUGUGCGGACCCUACGGGUUCGAGAAUCAUGUAGACAUGACCAAGACACCUCUCCGCUCAAUAACCAAUAGCGGGACCUGGAUGCCCAUAUUGGUUCCUACAUAUUCCACGAAGAUCUUUAUCGGUCGAAUCACGAUGUCAAGGAUUCUGUCAACCCCGUAUGUAGUUCCCUUUGUCCAUGGAUGGUGAUACGUAAGUCUGUGUUGUCCUUGAGUCUUGGUCUUGUUGUAGUGGCCUCCUACAUUGGUUGUGACGCGGGUUGGUGCUCUAUGGCUUACCUCAUUUUCGUUGGCAUGAGGCCGGACUAGGUGUGACAUUUAUCGUAGUAUGCAUGAUGGGUGUGCGUGAUGGUUGUGGCUGCUAGUCCUAGAGAUUGCCAUUGUAAUGACCGAAAGGAGUUGUAUUAUGCUUUUUUGCCGCUUCUUCUUAAUGCAAUGAUUCACAACCCACAUUUUUUACAUUUAGGAUGUAUAAGUAGAAGCAUUGCAUUUCAUGAUAUCAGUGCACAUUUGGUGUUGAAGGAUCAUCUUGACCUUCUCUUAAGCUCCGAGUUAAAUCGAGUUUAAUUAAAGGCCAUAAUGAUUACGUAUUGACAACCAAUGGAGAUUGUUCAUUUCUCCAAUUCCAUGGCGUAUCCCAAGUCUUCUAUCAUUCUUGUACCUGAGCACUUCACCUUAAACACAUGUGAGUCUUUGUGGUUCUAUACCUUGAUCAUUCACAUGAGCAUCAAUACAGUGCCAUGAAUAACCGUAAACAACUAACACUAUUUAUCUAUUCCAAAAUAAACCAAUUCCACCACUUCAUCUUGGACUACUAACAACAAAACUUUUCUUAUUAAAUCCUAAUAGCGUUGCCAAACUUCUCACACGAGUUUUCUCAAGCUGCUUCUCCAAUAUGCACAACACUGCCAUGUCAAAAUUGCUUCAUUAAUUCACGAAGCUCUCGAAUUGUCACGAGGUUGCCCACCCCACGAAAAUUCCAACAAGGCAACCUCCAUGGUCUGCUCCUUAUGACGCCCAAGAAGACACCAUCUACAUCGAUAUAGCCCUAGUGUGUGAGGUAAAAGACAAUAGAAAGGCUUGAUGACCCCAUGUGGUUCCACCAAGGUCGAGCAUCAAGGCAAGCCUGCUCAUGGAUUAGUUUCAAUGAAGAACAACAUGGACGACGGUUGGAGACAAGUGGAGAAGGGACUGAACAUCGUGCUAUGGCGACAGAAAGCUAAACCAUAACUAGAAGAAAACAAUCAACGACAUUACGACAUCACUUGACUAUGAUUAGAACUAGCACCACCAUUGUCAACUGAAAUAAAUUUUUCUUUGAGAAAAUCAGAGGCAAUUUCCUAUGCAUGGUGGUAGCUACACACCCUUGGUAUAAGUGCAUUUUUUGAUACGUGAGGUGUUGGGUUUUAAUGGCAUUGGCACAAGUACAUUUUUAUUGUAUAUGAAUGACCUUUUCUCACUUUUAUUUGUCUUGUUUGUUACCUUUUUGACACAAAUGUCUUUUUCUAUGUAGAAAGGGCGUUUCUCACUUCUCUCCGUUUUUCCUUGCCUUUUUGGCAUAAUUGCAUGUUUGCUUGCGUGGCUGGUCCAAACCCAUGAUAUUUUCGCUAUAGAGUUGUUUUCAUAUUUAAAAAUAAUUUAUCAAAUUAAUUAGAGAUAAAAAUUGGGACCAUGUGUAGCUACCACCAUGGGUAGCAAAUUAUUUUGCAAUUUUCUAUGCAUGGUGGUAGCUACAUACCCUUUGAUAUAAGUGUCUUUUCGAUAUAUGGGGUAUCAUGUUUCAUUACCAUUGACACAAGUGCAUUUUUGUUGUAUAUGAAUGAUCUUUUCUCACUUUUAUUUAUCUUUUUUGUUACCUUUUUGACACAAAUGUCUUUUUGCUGUGUAGAAAUGGCGUUUCUCACUUCUCUCGAUCUUUUUUUCCUUUGCCUUUUUGACGUAAUUGCAUGUUUGCUUGCCUAGCUGGUCCAAAAUCAUGAUAUUUUUGCUAUAGAGGAGACCUCCUAGUCCCCACAUAGGGUGACGGUAGGCUAGCAAACGCGUACCCCCGACGCACAUGGGCCGAUCUAGUGUGAGGGCGCGAGCGUUGUUUUCCUGUUUGUGCCUUCUUAACUUCCAAAACCGUUCACACAAUUUUAAUAAAUCUUCAUAAAUUCAAAAAAUGCUUGGGAUUCAAAAACUAUUUCGACUUUCAAAAGAUCUUCAUGAAUUCAAAAAUACUCAUGAAUUCAAAGAAUAAUUUGAAUUUAGAAAAGUUCAUGAACUUUCAAAUAUCUUAAGAAAUUUCAAAAAAUGUUUUGGAUUUAAAAAAUCAAGGAUUAAAAAAUAUCCAAGAAAUUCAAAAAAUGUUAAAGAAUUGAAAAAUAAUUAAAUCAAUCAUAUUCCAAAAGACGACUGUGAAUUCUGAAAAUGACCAUGAAUUUCAAAGAUUUUCCGCAUAAAAAAUGUUGCCAGAUUGCAAAAAAUGUUUAUAAACUUAAAAAAUACUAAAUUUCAGAAAUAAUUAGCGAAUCAAGAAUAUUUUCCAUUAAAUUUUCCUAGAAAUUUCUAAAAUUGCUCACACUAUCAAAAAAAUCAUGGAUCAAAACAAGUUGAUGUAUUUUUAAAAAGAUCCUAAAUUUAAAAAAUGUACGUGAAGUAUAAAAAGAAGAAAAAGGAAAUAAAAUCAAAGGAAAAGAAACGUAAAAGAAAAACAGAAAAGUGAAAAGAAACCCACUCUAAGGAACAUCUAGAAGUCUUAGUUGGACAAAUCCAAUAGUUAUGUGCAACGUCACAUAUGGGUGUGUGUUUGGUCGACGUUUGUUGACUUGCGUGUUAAAUAGCGUCCAUAAAAUAAUAGUUCAAAUACUUAGAGCCUUCUUGACGGCAUUGUGUCCCAACCCAACAAGCAUGUCACGGUAUGGACCCGUCCAAAAACCUCGCCGACCAAAGGUAUCACCAUUGGGCUAUGCCAAAUUUCAUGUCAACGCGAGCGUCAGAGAGUCAACGGGAGGUUCAACACCUAUAGUAUGCCGUGAUUGCAGCGUCAACUAUCUAGGUAGUUCGGCUGUUGUGAUAAAUGACUUGUUUGAUGUGGCAAGUUGAGGCCACCGCCUGUCGGAAGGCGUUAGCAGUUGCAGAGGAUCUUCACCUACAACAAUUCAUCAUUGCUUUUGAUACUAAAACAAGUGGUGGGAGACAUCGCCAAGGGCAACCAAGGAUGUUAUGGCACCACUAUUAGUGAGAUCAACUCUCGUUCAAUUACUUUUAAGUGUACUUUUACUUUUGAAGGUUGUGUUGUGAAUUAUGAAGAAUAUAGUCUAGUCAAGUUUUUGUUUACCCCAGGACAGGGACGUCACGUGCGGUUUGACCAACCCAUGACCAAAAUGUACCCCACAUUAUGUAAUUUUCGAUCAAUAAAACUUGUCUUUACCCNAAGAAAAUUAUAACAUGGAAGAGUACCUCUAUUUCAUAUGAUUAUGGUCGUGAAUCGUCGUUGAAUCAUAGAGUACCACCAGUGUGCUAAUAGUAUUUCAUGAUGUGUGAUUAUGGUUCAAUGGGCUGACACGGUUAGGCCUAGACACGGUUGAGUGGCUAAGAAAAUUAUAACAUGGAAGAGUACUCCUAUUUCAUGUGAUUAAGUUUAACUUACAAGUCUCAUAAUCUAGCUAGGCAUGCUUUGUCAUUGAAUCAGGGGCGCCUGGGUAUGCCUUAUGACCAGUGGCGGAGGUAUAGGGUGAACAGGGUGGGCCACGACCCACUUUUGGAUUUUUCCAGUGGCUUUAUAUCAUAGGAAAAAAUAUUCAAAAUAUUAUGAAAACAUAAUUUAAAUGAACAAUUCUACUCUUGGCCCACCCUGACCCAUUGGGCUAGAUCUGCUACUGCUCAUGACCCAAAAAUGACCAUUGGACGUGUGCAUGGUGAGCUAUAUCAAAAACAAAAGAUUUCUCACUGAAAAAUAAACAUUAGACUCAAGAGCACAUACGUCGUUUUGUCGAAAGGAGGUAUCGCGAAGGAGCCAGUGCGCCGUCGCCAUCGGCCAUAUCUCUCACCCACCACGCUUUUGCUCAGCUGAAAUGCAAGAAAAAAAGAAGAUUUGCUCACAUAAUGGAGGUACCGAGAAGGAGCCAGUCCGCCGGGCUCCCCAGAAACAUCCCCCACUUUAGCCCAUUCAGGCCCAUGUCAGCCCACCACUCCCACCAUUUCCCGUCCUCAUAUGCGGUGAUGUACCAGGCGGCGCAGCGCUAGCACAAGAGAGAAAUUAGGCGAGGCAGCAGCGUCCGUCUCCCUCCCUCCCUCGACCCUAGCCCCCCCAGCGCAUCGCCGCCGGGCCCCUCCGCCGCUCCGUCGCCGGCAUAUCGCCGAAGGGCGCGCCGAGCUCGCCGGAUCGGCCCUGCCGCCGCGGAUCCAGUACGGGCUCCCCACUCUCCGGACCUCCCCGCGUCCAUCAGUUGUCCGUUGCUUGAUUUGACCCGACUUGAUUGCUUUCCCCGGGUUGAGAUUUGGUCUCGUAGGCUGAAUCGCGAUCGGGAUCGGGGGAUCUUGGACGGGAUUUAGUAGGAUCGUAUAGGGAUCGAAUCGUAUUGGAACGAGUGAUCGCCCCCCUUUCUUAGCUGCGUUUUUUUUUUUUGGCGAAAUGCCCCGAAUUGUGAUGUUGGUUUUGGGUUGAUGCUGUACGGACCCAUUCAGUAAUUAGCUACCACUUAUGUGUUUUGUGGAUAUUUCGCAGCAGAAUUUGAUGCUGAGUAUAUGGUGAAUGAUGUGCAUUCUCAUUUAAUCUAACAUCAGAGACUGAUCUUAGUGGAUUGCUUGAGUAGAACUCUAAUACUUAGAUAUGUUAGAUAGAGGGUGCAUCACGCCAGAACACAUGUGACCUGAACAUAAUUCCUCUGUUUUAGUAUCACUACCUCAACCACAGCGACAUGGGAUUUAAACCGUUCCCCACUAGAGUCGGACAAGAAAAUAAUCCAUUACGCAACAAAAUCCAAGUUUUAAGAGGGUUCAACACUUAAGCUGGAUCAACAAAGGAGAAUACAGAGCAACAGGCUUAACUCAUGAGUUGCAGAGGAAAGCUUGUUGCAAUGCUAAUGUCAAUUCAUAAGGACACAGUGAAGUGCAAAAUGAUGCAGAAAAGGAACAUAUGAUAUGCUUUGUUAUAUCUACCUGAUUGUGCAUACACGUAGCAAUGACAGGGUAUUGUGUAGUUAGGAUCUCCUUAAACUUACUAUUCCUAAUUUUAUGAUCAUUGUUUAUGAGAAAAAUAUUGAAGUUGAAACCAAUGUGGCAAGUUUAAUUUGUGCAUUUCUUGUUAUGUUGGUUUUGCUCAGAUCAAACAGAUACUUGGGUUCCUUUUCCAUCUAAUUGUGUAUGUUGUUGGGUGCCAUAUCAUUAACCAAGUAUUGCCAAUCUUUGGUCCAGAUGGCUCUUAAUGAACGCCUCAGCAAAUUUAAACAACAGCAGGAGAGAUGCCAGACAACUCUAUCCAGCAUUGCUGCAACCCAAGCUUCAACCACAAAAUCCCACAAUGCUCCAAGGUCUAGACCAGCAAAUGCUCCGUCAGCUCCAGCAAAACAGAUACAGGCCAUUAAAUUCUCAAAUGAUACAGAAAGGCUUCAACACAUCAAUUCAGUGAGGAAGUCUCCUGUCGGAGCACAGAUCAAAUUAGUUAUUGAACUGCUUUACAAGGUAAUUUGCGGAAAGCUCAACUUGAUGGUCCUCAUAUUCAGUUAUUCUGUCCCGUAGUGAUAGGUUUCUCUGUUCUCUGUUUGGCCUUGCAAAAUUGCAAGUAUUAUUUAUCAUGCAAAACAAGUUGUUAACUGAGCCUUAUAGGACAAUAAGUGAUUUGUUGGAUAAGUUCCGCUAUUGCUUAUGUUGUCUUUGGGUUAGAGAAAACUUCACAGUGCUAAUUUUCUCUGGGUAAUAGUAAAUGACCAGAGCAGUGAUGUCAUAUAAUAUUACUGUUGCUUUUAGUGACAAAUAGUAUAUAAUUGCACUCUCAAUUAUCAGAUACCGGUGGUCCUAACGCAAAAAUAGAGAUAUUUAUUCAAGCCUGAAUAAAUGGUUCUGCACCUUAUUUCACAUGUUUAAUUCGUGUUUCUUUCAGCUUAUUAUAUUAAUGACAGACUUCGUAGUACGGUAACAAAAAGAGUGUUCUCUUACAGUUUUUGUCCUGAAAUAUAUGUUAUAAUGUGUUCCAUGUAAAAUAAUACUCCUCUUUUCUUGUGAACCUGCAGACAAGACUUGCUUAUACAGCAGAGCAAAUAAAUGAAGCAACAUAUGUUGCGAUUAAUAGUAACAAGGCAGUCUUUGAUAGCCUGACGAACAAUCCCAAAGUACAAUUUGAUGGGAAGCGUUUCUCUUACAAGGUAAUUGCAUCGAGGAUUAUUUUAUUACACAUUGAUAUAUGAAGUACCUGUUUUUUCCUUCGCGGAAGACUUCUGUCUUUCAUCUCAUAUUAGGUUGCAUAUUGACCUGGCAUUUGAAAUUAUACAGUCCAAGCAUGAUUUGAAGGGGAAAGAUCAAUUGCUUCAUUUGAUCAGAAGAUUUCCCGAGGGUCUUCCUGUUGUGGAGGUCAAGGAUUCAUAUCCAACUGUAUUGGAUGAUCUACAGGUGACUAAAUUCAUAUUGGUUUAAGAUUUUGAGAAAUCUGGUAGGUGCUACAUUAUUUUCCAUGCUGUGUAUCAAAUUUGAUGGUGGAAAUAACUGUAUCUGUGUUCAGAAACCAAGUAGUCUUAUGUACAGAGGUUCGAGAUUUUAAUGUUGGGAUCUUUUAGCGAGCCUUGCUUUUGUUUAUGUAUAUUUAGAAGUACAGUUAUCUAAGCUUCCAUUCUAUGGAGGUUAAAUUUUAAUGUUAGUUGUUGCCUUUGUGUGCGCUUGUAGUGGUUUUUGAAAUAUUUCAACUGUUGAUUACUUGACUGCUAGUAAAUAAUCGAAGUUGAUGCACUGUACACAAGAGCACAGCCCUUUUACUAAGCACAUUUUUUUAUAUUUGGUUAGCCUGAACCAGUGAGGUAUAUAUGAAGUUGAUGUGUCCCAUGACCGGCAAUUUGCUUGAUUGGAAACAGUGUUUCCUGGUGUCUGAUGGAACACAGCCAUAAUGAAUCAGUGAAAUUACUUGGUUCCUAGAGGUGGUUCUUUUCUGCAGACAAAUAGAACAGCAAAACAGGACAAGCUAGUUCCAAGUAUAUUGGAACUAGGCAGAUCGCUUACUGAUCAGUGUUAACUAUUGGUGUUACUUUGUGUACUUGUAGCUUUUGCUCUUUAUUGCAAAUGUGUAAGCGAACUAGGAAUUCAGCCCAGAUAUCUGAUGUAUACAGCUGAAAUUUCUUUUCUGCUUACAGGCUCUCAAAGCCUCAGGUGACGUCUGGUGGCUAUCAAGCAUGGACUCCCAGGAAGACAUUGUGUACCCAAAUGAUCCCAAAUCGAAGAUCAAGCUCGAUGCCGACUUGAAGCAGCUGUACCGGGAGAUAGAGCUGCCACGAGACAUGAUUGACAUCGAGAAGGAGCUCCUGAAGAACGGCCACAAGCCAGCAACCGACACGACCAAGCGGCGUGCAGCGGCACAGAUCCAUGGCCAGCGACCAAAGCCGAAGGCCAAGAAGAAGCAGAAAGAGAUCACUAAGAGGACCAAGCUCACAAACGCGCAUCUGCCUGAGCUGUUCGACCUGCCCCGUUAGCGCAAGCAAGCAAUGAUGCAUAUAAAGUUUGGGGGCAUUUCUUCAUGUGAGAGCUCGCAAUAAUAUUUUUACAUGCACAACGAUAUCUAUUUUUGUGUUACUUCAUCAUUGGGGGAAAGGACUUGCUGCAUCUCAAAACUCAAAACUGAGGUUGAUGCUUAUGCUUCAAUGCUUGUUAUACAUCAGUUGUACGUUGACAAUCCAUUGUGUGUUCCGUAUAAAAUGAAUCGAGAUGAACACCAAGCGACCUCGCAAUAGUCAUUAUACAUUACUUCUUAUUAUAGGGCAGUCCGUUGUGAGGUGCGGUUCAACCGCUUGUAAAUUUUACCCGUAACCACGGACGAUGGAUGGAUCUGCCGAAUAGAUUCCGCUCCGGUUAGUAGUUUAGGUUAGGAUUUUUAAUCCUAGCAGGUGCAACGCUCGAGGUAGUUUAGGUUAGGAUUUUUAAUCCUAGCAGGUGCAACGCUCGAGGUGGAUGACUGCGCUUUGUCUUCAAGUUUGUAUUUCAUGCUACAAUCCUCUUUGAGUUUGUCUUCAAGUUUGUAUUUCAUGCUCCCAUCCUCUUUGAAUUUGUCCAUCUGGACAUAGUCGACGAGGCCCCAGUGUAGAUUCCCUGCGUCUCGUUUAGGCAGUGAGGUCAUGAUUUCUCACUGUGUGACAAGAUUUGGUGCUAGAUGCUUUUAUAUAUUCGAGGGUUCGACGAUGACGACUAUGGCUCAAGGACACUUGUCCUUAGGGGCACACAUAUAAAGGCUUUUCGGUUGUUAUUGACAUGAUCAAGCCGGCUCCGGUAAAGGAACGGCGACAUGCCGGUAAAGGAACGGCGACAUUGGCAUGUCGGUGGUUUGUUGUGGCAAUGGUCGUGGUCGUUUGGUUGUCUUAAAAUCUGGAUGUAGUUUCUGUUAUGUUUAAGGUGCUUUGUAUUUUCAGUGAACAUUAUAAUAGAUCUAAAUCCUUUUUGCUAAGAAAGCAUUUAGCGUUCGAUUCUUUUGGCAUUGGUCAAAACGCUUAAGUGUUCCUCUAAAAAUUUGCAUGUGCCUAUGAACACAUCUAAACUUUUUCUGGAUUAUUUUUUAAGUUUUAAAAUAACAUUUUUAGAUGGCUAUAUCAUAUUUUUAUGCUCUCCAUAGCAAAGAAAGGGUAGGGCGGGUACUGUUUAGUUAAUUUUUUCUUUACUCAAAUCAACGUUUGUGUUAUAUACACAAACACAACCACAUGUGAAAAAACAUAGGCGAAAAUAUAAUGACUGGAAUGGCCGUCGCUAAUGUGUGGAGCAGGUUGAUACUGUCUCCAAAACGGGCAUAGUAUUUGUGUGCGGUCCUUACUUUAAUUUCUAAAAAUAAUUUGACGGUUCUUUUUUAUUUCGGAUCGGAGCAGUGUAAUUGCUAGAAAAUUAAGUAUUUAAGGUUGGAGCCCGUCAUCCAACUCUCACCGUAAAUGUCGACCCGCAAUACAAAUAAAUUCAGAUGUAAUUCAUUCAAACGGAUAUAAAUUCGAUAUAUUUUACAUAAAUUGGAUGAUAUUUUGUGCGUUCAACAAAUAAAAUCUAAACUAGCUUGUAACGGACGGUGACCUCGUAAGCGCAGUCGGGCUGGCCUGUGUCACAUCCGUUUUUGUUGUCGGAGUGGUCCUUCCAGCGGUAGAAGGGCGCGGCCGCCCUACCUGGCUUCCCGACGCUUGUGGAAGAGCCACUAAGUUUCCUCGUGUGCCAUGCAGAUGACUACCAAGGUCAACACAGACCCUGGUCAGGGAGUCUUACCCUUGUCCCUCUCAGUGGCGGCCUUGCUGAGCGACCACUCCUCACCGACCUUGACAAGCUCCCUGUCGAGGCGACUUAGUCGCCGCACGGACAUCUCCGCAAUCAGCGACCGAUCAUGGGCCCAGGUCUCCUCAAGGUCGUGGUCUGCACGAACCAUGGUCGGCGCCUUGUCGGACCUCAUGAACACCGUGCGGCAUCAUUCCCGCCUCACCGCCUCCCUGACCACCAUCUCCUUGCUUCAAUGUGGCACAUUGGUUGAAGUAGGCUUCUUGGUAACGGUAUCGACAUUGAAGCGACACUGCCUACUUGUCUGGUCGCGUCCUUCUGACCGGUAUAAUUACCGUGGAGCCAUGUCAGCUCUCGAGCAACGCUAGCUGGCAUGAAUGCACGACAACUGCUUCACAUGAAAAGGUUUUGGGUGUGACCAGAGCGUCGAACUUGUACGUGGCUGCAGCCCAAACAUCCACAAAGCCCCCUAGUUUGUGGGCUUACUUUCAGCACGGCAGCUCCCCCUAGUUUGUGGGCUUACUUUCACCACGACAGAAUCUAGUCUGAACUUUGUUCCGGAUGCACAAACCGAUGAGCGAAAUCACUAGUUAGCGAGUAUAUCUUUCAACGAUUACUCUCACCUCCACAUGUUGCGACAAGUGGCGCAACCUAGGAGUUUUUCCUUUUUUCGUAGAUCCGUAUUUUCAAAAUGUUUUAUCUCCUAAACCGUGUGUCCAAAUCUCAAACCGUUUUCAUCGAUGGCUUUCUCGCGUGGAGAUCUUCAAAACUAGAUCUCACGUUGAUAGGUUUUGACGAACUUUUUUUAUGAAAAAACCCGGAAGAAAAACCGUGCCUCACGCGAUAGAAAAAAAACCCAGAAAACACGUUUUUUCUCGCGAAGGCAAAACCAUGCCUCUCGCGGAAGCAAAACCGUGCAUCUCGCGGGAAAAAAAAGAAAACACCUUUUCGGGAGAGGCACGGACGUGCCUCUCGCAAAGGCAAAACCGUGCCUUUCGCGGAAGCAAAACCAUGCUUCUCGGAAAAAAACCAGAAAACGCGUUUUUUUUUCUGAAGAGGCACACUCUCGUGAAGCAAAACCGUGUCUCUCGCAAAAAAAAAACAGAAAACACGUUUUUUUUCCUUUUCGAGAGGCACGGGCGUGCCUCUCGCGAAUGCAAAACCGUGCCUCUCACAAAAAACAAAAGAAACGCGUUUAUUUCCUCUUUCCGAGAGUCACGAAGGCAAAACCGUGCCUCUCGCAAAAAAUAAUAAUCAGAAAACAUAUUUUUUCCGUAAAUAAAACAAAAAAUGCGUUUUUUCCGUUAUGAAAGACCGGUGAAAAACCGAAACAUAAAAAAACCCCAAAAAAACCACUCUAAAAAACCAAAAACACGUGCGAAAAAAUAAAAAAAGCAAAAUACAGAAGAAACGUUCAGAGCGCGACAUGUGACGGCGGCUAAGAACGAGCAAGAGUGAUCGCUGGGAGGCUCCCGAAGGAGUGCUCGCUAACUAGUUGCUCUCACCGACUAGCGCAAUUUGGUUCAAAGCCAUAUUGAUACGUCAACAUAAACAAAGAAAUGGACUUCAAGUGUAACUCUAGGUUUCAGAAAUGAACUUAUGAUAACAUCGAGUAGUUGCAUAAGGACGGUCCAGAGAGAAUAUAACUCCAAUCUGUACUUUUUCCAGUUUACAUGUGUAUAUGCAUACAGCACGAAUGAUCCAUGAAUAUAACCCUUGUUAGAAUGCCCUAGAAGAACAUAUAAUUGUAGACUAAAAAGCCAAAAAACCCAGCCCAACUAUGCCCGAAGGAACUUAAACAGUUUUUUUUCCGAGGGAAAACUUAAUCACAGCUCUUAUUACAGAUGUUUGCAAGCAUGGUCGUUACAUAUUUCCUUGAAGGCUCACAAGAAUGAACCCAGAACCAUCAGAUGGGGUUGCUUCACAAAGUGUACAGUAACAAAAAAUAUUGAAGCAUUCAGAUGAAAAGCCCCCACACACAUCAACAACAUUCCAGUCACCGGUCCCAAGUAUUUUGAACUUUACAAGUUUUUAUCAUGUGCAAGAUAGUAAAAUGUAUUCACCGACACCGUCCUGCUUUUUCUAAAUCAAGAGGACUGAUGGCAUACGUUCACCUGCACAAAGGAUAUUUGAACAAGUCCCCUGUUAACUAGCCUAGUGAUUGGAACUGAAGGAGAGUAAGCACAGAUCUGAUGACUGGCGAGCGCCAUCCAUGUCAACCAUCUACAAAUAAGCAACAUAAGAGCAAUUCAACUCAGAGCUCUAGAAACAAAUGGAAAAUGCAGAUUUUUUUUGAAAAAAAUAUAUGUAUACCUUGAAUCCUAUAUGAUCAUAGAGCCUCCGAGCUGGCAAGUUAUCCUUAUGUACAUGAAUAUAAAUACUUUCAGCACCUACAACAAGGGGUGAAGGUAUCAGCAGAUGAACCACUAUUAUCUGUGGUUUUACAAUUCUAGACAAGCCUAAUGCUUUACCAUCGAGUCUUGCGGCAUCAAUGGCCAAUAACAACAUGUUGCUGGCAAUCCCUUGACGCCGUGCAUACUUAGCAACACAAACGUUGGUUAAAUAUCCAAAUUUUGGCUGAUCUGGCUGAUAGAUUCUAGAGUAAAAUGGCAUGUUUCCAGGCUCCUGUGAAUAAUUUCGAAAUGUAACUUCCAUAGACACAGGCAGGAGUAAUACAAAGAUAUUGGUGCUAUUGUCCAUACCGCGGGAUAUGUCUCCCCAUAUAGAGGAUGCCUGACACACAGAUCUACCGUACCAACAACACUAUUCAGCACAGUACGUGUAACGUCAUCAUUCUUUACCUGCAAUAUUAUUACCAUGGGUGAGAUGUUAAUUAACCGUGAAAUAUAAGGAAAAUAUAAUAAAAGCAACUUUAAGAGUGAUUGACAAUGUAGACCUAAAUAUUUUUUACAAAAGAUCUCUAACAACAGAAAAGUGAAGUUUUAACUUGGCGGUUGUUGGGUAGCUAUUUUUGAGUGUCUUCCCUCAAAGAAAUAUUUCAGAACUAGCAUAACAUACUAUUUCAUGAACUGCUUAACUCAAAAUGCAGUAAUAAAUGGGUUACAAACAGCUUUACUCUCAUACCGCAACAAAACAUGUAUACUUCUCUCCAACCUGCCUGCUACACCGUUUCUUUAAAGCAUGAAAUUCCUGCAGUGAGAUGACUGACGAUGAUACAUUUGACAUAUUACAAGAAAAUGAUACACGGCUACAAGUGUCAACUUUUAAAUGAUCAGCUGGUGGAAAAUGGGCACGUGCCGAUAUCAUCACCGUCCCACUUGCCUCUAGUAACACAAAAAUAUGACUAACUGAUUACACACGUACCUGUGAUGCAAACUUUCUUUUGAAGCUUUCAACAUAGCUGCAGUAAGAAAACAACAGUACAAUAGAUUUUAGUUACAAGGAUACUAACUAACAAAAAGUACACCAACACUGUAAUUUAGGUACUAACCGAUCGCCUGACUGAUCUUCAUAGUGAUCUUCUGCUCUCAACCAUGCGGCAAUCUAUAAGGUCUUGGUAAGAAGAGAUGUAAGGCAUAGUGGUAAUGUAAAUGUUAUUUCGUUACUUCACAGCACCAACUAAAUUGUGAAGGUAGAUUAUUUGGAAUAUAAGUGUUAGUAUCUAUAAAUCUCGUGCUCUGAGCUUAUUAGCAUGAGAAACAAAAGACAGGUAGCCUAUUAAUUAUUGUCACUAACUCGUCAUAAACACAUGUGGCGACCAUGUCAAUCAGAAAUGGACGACUUUAAGUUAUUGCCCAGAAUCAGUGAAUGUAUAUUUUUUGCAAGUAACAAGAAUAAUACCCAGUAUUCCUCAUCCACUAUAGCCUCCCGAGCAACAUAACGACCAAAAUAUCUUGUGUAUUUGCAAUCACUUUUCUCAGUCGGGGGUCGAAGACGAUUGAAACGGAGAUCGGAUGGUUCUGCUGGAUGCAAAGGUGUUGGCGUCACUGCUGUCCUAUUGGAUAAGCUUGAUGAAACCCCAGGGAUGGAUGCUUUUCUGGCAACAUUAACACUAUGGGCAAUCAUUUCCUCUUCUCCACCGUUUGUAGAAACCACGGGUUCAUCUUUCCUGAAAGAAAAAGCUGAUUUUGCAUGAAAAUAAUUGACAACAUGGGUAGACUGUAAGCGUGGUGUUACUUUUUACAUAUCUAAGCUAGUUAUAUGCUUAUAAAGCAAGAAAAGGCCACACGAUUCAGAAACCUAAUCUAGGUAAAACUGGGUUCUAGUGCUACGGCGAGUAUUCAGUUUGACAAUUACAUGAUAUAAGUAAUGAGAUGUUUUCAAAGUACUGUGCAGUUCUGCAUCCGAGAAAAAACACCCCAAGGUUGGCAGCAUUUGUGUUUUCCAGAACAGCAUAUCACUAUCUUUAUCUUCUCUGCUUGGAACAAACUUGUAGCAAAAUGCUGGCGAACAAAACCAGUAACUGGUAAGCUAGCCCACAACAAUUCAACAAAUAAGGGCGUGGAUCAUCCUAAAUUGAACUAUAUGGUUACACUUUCGUGACAUGGAAAUUGAUGAACAAUACAUCUUGCAACGGGCAAUCAGAGUUCAACGAAGUAAGCAUAGGAAUGCGUGUGUCUUCGACCAUAUGACUCCGUCGCAAGACGAGCUCAUGGAUAGGAUCAAGGAUGAGAUGAGGUGCUGGGCUAGAGCCGGGGACAAAGGGCUUAGGGUAGUCUUGCCCCCAUCCUGGGAUGUCCACUAAACCCCCUGUAACAAUGAUGUAACCACCUCCUAGGAGGCUGUAGUCCCCCCUUCUUUUCAAUACAAAGAAACGCAAGGCUCUUUGCGUUUUCUCGAAAAAAAAGAGUUCAACGAAGUUCCCAAAUCGCAUUGAUCAACUUCCUCCCAAUUCAAGCAGGCAUGUCCCUUCCUUUGCUGCAAUCAGCGACUGAUAAGAACAUGGAGUCCCUCAUUCCUCGGACAAGGAAAACUAGCAGUCUAGCAGUCUGCGACCCUGAGACCGAACCGACCGCAAGCAUAAGAACAGAGUAAAGACUGCUCACAUCGGCGUGGCGGCGAGGCGCCGGCGGAGGAGGACUCCCCG